AAGCUACUGCUGAGGCUAAUGCUCCCAACCUCAAGGCUGGAGAGAAAAUGUAACAGGAGAUAUAUGAACCUAUAAUUCCUUGAGAAUUCUCUAUAGGACCAGUAUGUUGCUUGUGUUAGAACUUAGAAGUGUAGGCAGUGGUUUGGUUUUCUAAUCCGCUAGGGGAUUUUUCUUUAUACAAAAGAAUGUAAAUGCUAAUGACAGUAAUUUUAUCUGUUUUGAGUUUUGAGACACUUCUUCACUUCUGAUACUUUUCCUGUAUUCCUUUGUUCUGCAGAGAUUAGUUAACUAGAUCAGUUCGUACUGGUUUCAGAAGGAACGCAAAGGAUAAGCUGCAUUCAGUUUCUCACCCACAUUGUUUGCAAAUGAUGACCUUUUAACUUUAAACUGAUAAUCAUCUUAGUUAAUUUUAGUUAAACAAAAUCCACAAUUGUGCUCUAAAGCUCAUUGAAAAUGAUCCUCCUGCUCUUUUAAGCAAAAAGCAAUGGAGUUUCGCUAUGAACUUGAUGGCAGCAAUAACCAGCCUAAUUAAUGAAAUUAGAAAUGAUACACACCUAUGGAAAGAAAAGAAUUCUACCAAUUUGCAGUUUGUGCUUAACGAGUGUCAACAACUGAUCAUAAACAAUAGAGUUGCUGCAAUCCUUGCUCAUACAAUGAUUGAUGAGCACAAGCAAACUAGCUGCUCUAAGGAAACAAAUACUAGUCAGAAGAAUGGUCAUGAAGUCUACUCAACUGUCACAAUUGCAGUAUUGCAAGUGAUCAGUUGAAUUAUUUCUUGCUUAGGCAAGUACAUAGUAGAACUGAAAAUUCAAUCUUUCAAUUCUUAAUUUUUGGAAAGGCCUUUAGCAUUAAAGGAAACAAGCAAAGGACGGAUAAUCCGUGUGCAAGAGAUUCAGACAAAGAUGCAUAUGAUGAUUUAAGGAUCCUGCACAAUGAUCAUCUGAUCAAGGCUUCACAAAAAUCCCUGCUGAAAUCCCUCUCUUUCAAGAGCUGCUGCAGUUCCUGCUUGGGCAAUUGUUGGUCAGACAGCAUCUGCAAAACUACAAGAACUGUUUUCAGUACUAGAUGUCUUCUGAGGAAAAUACAGGUCAUUUCAGGUAAUGAAUCCCCAUCACUUGAAGGAUGAAGUAUAAAAAUUGCAGAAUAAAAAUGGUUCACUUUUUUUUUUUUUUUUGACAGAAUUCAACUGAAGAUGAGUUCAAAUGCAACUGAUCUUACAUACUUAUCGUCUUUACUCUUAGUUCUUCAAGUUGCUUUCCAUGGUAUUCUUCAUAUAUCUAUGUUUAUUCACUUCACAUCUAAGCUCGAAGAUUCAGGUCAAUCAUAAUCCGCCACUAUCUUUCUCUCUUUCUCUUUCAACUCCAGUGUAAAUAAGCCACCUUGAGCAAAUGAUUGAUAUGAAACUCAAAACAAAAAUGUACAGAUUGAUAUUAGUGGCUAUCUUAUAUUCAUUGUUGGCUCUGUUUCCAGAUUUAAGGCCUGCAGAAUUUGAAGCUUUGAGCUUGUAUAUAACUCUGUACUUAAGGGAUGUAUUAUUCGUGCUUAUAUCUGUUACAUUCUCGGAUCCUAUAGAAAUGCAGGCAGCAAAUUUCAUGAUAAUAAUAGGUUCGAGAUGUGAACACUAAAUUAAUUGCAGCAAGAAUAAAAAUCAAGACCAAAGAAACAAAUAGAAGAGUCCUCACAUGCAAAGAUAUCCUGUUGAUUCCUUAUCUAGAUAACGUGUAAUAACUAUGAAAUAUACCACAUUGUUUUGUAAUGCUGCAAGAGCUGAAAAACCAUAGUCUUGAAGCAGCAGCACAAAGAACAAGCAUAAAUAACAAGAAGUUUCUCAUUAUGAAAAGUAAAAUUGUCUUGCCAAGAAAAACGGAUACUGGAAGGGUCUCAUUUAAAAAUAAUAAUAAUAAUAAUAAUAAUAAUAGCAGAUGUUGUUAUAGAAAGAGUGGAACAAUGCGGCCCUCGUAAACCUGAAUGAUGGAAAAUCACUCAGUUUUCAAUCAUUGUUAACAAUUCGUUAAGGAUUUGACAUAUGCCGUAUAUUAUCCGAACAAGAAAUUUAAGAAAGGCUGUUAAGGAAUAUUCGAUUUCAAUGUUAUAUUGCAAUUACCUCUAUCAACUAUGGUUAUUUCAGAAAGAACAAAGCUGGAUGCUUAAUCAGUAUGAUCCCUUCAGGUUCUGAUUCAAUUUCAUUUUGUAAAACCUUUAAGCAAAAAACUCUGACACACAUCAGAUGGCUACAAUUCGAUGGUGAUGAUAAAUUUUUUGGUUAAUCACAAAGAAUGAGGUAUGAGAAACUAAUUUUUCCCAAAGAUAGUGAGAAAGGUAACUCUAGAAUAUGACCUAACAUAAAUGUGUAUAAUUUCAGGAAAUCCAAACUAUUAUAGAUCCAAACAUGAUGAGACUUAAACAAGCCAAUUUUUGGUUUUGAUUCAACAAUAUUUAGCCAAUGAAGUGACAAACUGGACUCCCCAAAACUCAUAUAAAUAGACACUUAUUUUGUUACAAGUAGUACAUUGAAAGUACAUGUAAGAAAUCAAUAUGAUAUAGAAUCACGAGAUUCAAUAGAACCUAUAAAAACAAGAUACUGUGUAUUUGUUAACCUAGUCAAAGAAAGUGUUAAAAACCAAUAUGAUAAAAAGUCAUCAGAUAAAUUUUGGAAAUAAAACAGUUCCAAAUAUUAGAGAUUUCUUAAAAGAAAAUAAAAACAAAUAAUCUCAAAGAUUUUUGAAUCUUGCUUACCAGUUAUUAGAAGAAUACAACAAAAGGGAUCCCCAAGUAAGACGAUCAUCAAGAAUAUGGAACUGAACCAUUGAUGAGAACCUUAAGCCCUUCAAUUCCUUCCUCCUCAAUUCUCGUCACCAGCUCAUCAGUAGAUUGUCCGCAUCCAUCCACUUCAAUCACUUGCAAGGUGGGAAUGUCUAGAAAAGCAGAAGGCACCUCCUUUAGCUGUUUACAGUUCCGCAAUGCUAGGUGCUGCAGAUUGGGAAGGUGAUCACUGUAGGCAUCCCACUGGACAAUGUUUAGAGUAUCUAAUUUCAGGUACUUGAGCUCACGGUACUCAUCUUCUUCCAUUUCCCAUACUUCCCCUUCGAAGGCUCUACAGAGUAGAUUGAGAACCUCAAGAUUUGGGAAUCUUGCAAUUGCUGAAAUGUGAUGCCAUGGCAACCGAAAGCUUGACAAGGUGAACUUUUUCAGACUAGAGGGCAAGAUAAAUGGACUCACAUUAGGUGGAGGGCCAUAGUAAGAGAUCUUCGGCGACUCCAGCUUAGUCAAAACAUCCAUAGCCGGAAAAUGAUCAUUGUUUCCCAAACAACUAUUUGGUUUCACAAACAUGCAUCCAAGUUUUCGGAGAUUAGGGAACCUCCUCAAUACUAUUUCUGUUUCUUCCACAUCAGAGAAACAUGGCGAUGAAAGUGUCACCAAGUCAUACAACUGAGAAAGUUCCACAGGCUUGAUACCUUCCAAAAUAAAUGUAGCAUGAUUAUUGACAUGAACAUGUCGCAACCGUGCCAUGUACCAAAUACUAUCAGGUAGUAUAACUUUUCCCUUUAAUCCCUUCACAAUGAUCGUUUCCAAGUUCCAGAGGUUCGACAUUGAUGAUGGAACAGAAUCUAUAUCUCCACUGACAGCUAAAAACCUCAAGUGUCUACUCCGGAGAAAAAUGAUGUGCCCAUAUUGAUGCAUUCCAAGUCCAGCACUCGAAGAAGUUUAAAGUUGUUAGAAAUAAAUGAAACGUCACAAGGACAUCUGGGAUAUAUAUCAUUAGUGGCAAAGAAAAGCAAAGAACGGACGUGAGCACCAGAAGGCCUUGACAUGACAAAAUGGUUCCGCUUUGUGAAAGCGCACAAUCGAUAAUCAUCAUACCUAAUGGAAUCUAAAUGAUCAAAAUAACCAAAAUCAACACCAUAAUCUAAAUCAUCAAAUGAAGCAUGAGGUUUCUCAAUACUUCAUAAUUAUCCGGGAAAAGUUUUCCUCUUUCAAUUUGGAUUUGCACAAGUCACGUAGUAUAUCGUGGACAUGACAUGCUUUCACCCCGCCACUUGAUCUUCUCUUUGCAACCAUUACUAGGUUUCGACCAACCAGAUCCAUUAGGUAUUCCUCUGCAGGAUCUUCUAAGCUUUUUUGCUCACUUUUCUGUACAAACCCUUCACUAAUCCAUAACCAUAUUAGCUUUCAAACGAGAAUAUCUUUUUGUUCCCAGAAAAUUCCAAAAUACAAAAAGCAUGGUCUUAAAUGAUCUGGCAAGUGCUUGUAGCUUAGUUCCACAAUAACCUUGCACUGCAUUUCUGGAUUAUCAAAAAUAUGCGAGCUCAUACUUUCCGCAAUUCGAUGCCACCAAUCUCGUGUUCUAUCAGAUCUUUCGAGGACACCAGCUAUUGCAACAAUUGCCAGGGGUAGUCCUCCAGAACUUCUAGAAAUUUGCAUUCCAAUUUCUGACAGUGCCGCUGGACAGUCUUGAUCAUGAAAUAUCUUGCUCUGUAGCAGAUCCCAACUUUCACUAUCGGAGAGUAGACGAAGAGAAUGAGGCUUGCUAUCUGGUUUAGCUUUUAGACCUACAUCGUGAAGACGACUAGUUAUUAAAAUCCUACUCCCAUUUCUGUCACUAGGUAAGGAUUUUUCCAAGUCAUGCCAAGUCCCAGUGUUCCACAUAUCCACAUAUCAUCCACAACUAUAAGAUUCCUUUUCUGCUUCAGCUUUUGAUACAACAUUAACUCCAAAUCUGCAUUACCCAUUUGAAGAGUAUCGGCAGUAGGCUUAGAGAUGCUGCUUAAAGUGUCAAGCAAUAGAUCUCGUUUGUUGUACACUUGUGAUACAUGACACCAGGCACAAACAUGAAAGUUAUACGAAAUCUUAGGAUCGUUGAACACUUCCUUUGCCAUAGUUGUCUUGCCUAUUCCUGGCAUGCCAACAAUAGCUACCAAAUCUCUCUGCAAGGAUCCCCAUGUGAGUCUAUCAAAUAUUGCUUGUUCUUGAUCAUGGAGUUCUACCACAAUUUCAUCAAUUUGUGGGACACUAGAUUGGGAUAUCUCACGUUGAGAGGCCUGGGUGAGGGACUAUGAUAUCAGCGGCCUUCCUCUCAUAAAUUUCUCUACUCUGAAUCUUAAGAAGUCCAGUAUCUUCUAAGAGCUAGUCGAGAUAUGAGAAAUGAUACCACAUACCCCCAACCACAUUCAAGUCAAUUACAUAUUCAAUCUCAUAAACCAUAUUGAUAACACGUGCACCGAGAUCUUGGACUUGUUGAUUCUCAAUGUCCUGCUCAACAACGUCCCUUAGGAAAGACCUAAAGAACUUUAGAUCCCCAAUGAUUGUUUGAAUCUGAUGCUUCACAGGUGCAAUUGAUAUCGGAUUAUACUUCAGCAUAUCCAUUAGCUUUCUCAAGAGAAAAUCAACGACUCCAGUAACAUUAGUUUUGGGGAAAUUAUGCCGUGGGAACUGGUGAUAAGUAUCUCUGAGGUCUGCCUUCACAUGCAUAACUUCAUCAAACAAAUUACAAAGCAAAUGAUACAUUUUGAAGUCCAUCUCUUCUCUCAUUCUACUGUCAAGAAUUGGUUUGUAAAGCGAUAUUACCCUCUUAGACACUGAAAAAAUCCUUGUGAAGACUAAUUUGUCAUUUGGUGUAUUCUCCUCUAGCUGAUGUGUGACUAUAGUUCUCCAGAAUCUUAGCGUCUGAUGAAUGGCUUUGACUUGAUGUUUCACAAGGUCAAAUAAACUUGCAUUGCUACGCGGCAAGGCCACAAUUGUCGAUUCCGCCUUGAAAAGAAAAAUCUUCGGAAGCAACAUAAAAAACACAUCACUGGCCUUGGACUUUGUGACUUCCUUGUCAUGGAGAGAGUGAUAUAAAGAUAUUACCAGUCUGUUAACUUCCUCAAGAAAUGUGAAGAUUGGUUGUUCAUCUUCUUCGUCCCUUACAGCUUGCGGCAGAUCUUUGAAGUAUGUUCUCAAGAAACUCAACCUCGCAUCAAGGGCUCUAUAUUGGACAAUCGCAAGGUUGAGAUCAGGGCCACCGUUUAAUUGCCCCACAAGGAAAACCUCUACCUUUAUAAGCCAAACCUUUGCAAGCAAUAUCAUAAGAUCAGUUCCCAUUUCUCGGUCCAACAUACACUUCAAAACUACCCCAUGCAUAAUAGCUACUUCAAUCUCGGGCAAUAGACAUUCCACAGCCUCUUCAGACAAUUGUCUUGUAUUAGUGGUGACAAUGGACACUAAGUAAUUCAGCUCCUCAUAAAGAACAUGUAGAUACUUGACAAAGCAAGAUUCCAGAUAUGUGUUCCUUGUGCAAUUGGUCUCACUCUUCAUAGCGUUGAGGAACUGCAGAUUCACCUUUAGAAAAUCUCACGUAGUUAGAUCUAUCUUCUGUUGCAAAUCAGAAAUCUCUUUGCCAUCUGGGAAUCAAUUUCUUCCCUGAACCAGCACAAACAAGACAGAUGCGUUGUGUGGAUUGCAACAUCUCCAACAAAUAAAGAGAUCUUCUAUUCUUGGAUCCUGUUCUGGGAAACCGCGCACAUCCUUGAUGAAACAUAAGAACUUUGAUAAGUAGUCUUUGAAGGCUCCAAAUUGUACCAUCAGAGGAUGACUAUUAGCAAGUUUCUUACUCAAAUCCAGCAGAUUGUCAGAUAUGGAUAUGACAAACUUCUGCCAUUGAUUAUAGUGAUGUAAAGGAGAGACAGACAGAAUUGAAUGGCUUGAUAGAUAGCCAUCCUGAUCAUAAGCUUCUCUGAUUUCUGACUUGAUAUUCUUAAUUUUCUCAAGAAAGUUGAAGAGUAAGGCAAUCAACUUAGAGGGACGGAAUAAAAUAUAAUUCUUGUUAGAUGCUCUUUCUAGGCCUCUCAUCUCUAGUAUUGCCGUUUCAAUUCUCAAGUCAAGGGAUUCCAAAUUCUACACAACCUUAGAGGCAUUAGUCCAGAUUGUAACAUAACGCAAAAAAGUAGUCAGAAAUCUGAACUCCACUUCAAAAUUAUUGAUCUUAUUAACCAUACAGGUGUGAACCCAAGGAUGCAGUUGCAGUCGUGGUUUCAAACCAAAAAACUGCUGUGUUUUUGGCAAAAAUGUUCCAGAUACCUUCUUCGUCCAGAAUUGAGUUUUAUACUGUUCAAGCUGCUGCUUCAGGCCCUUCAGAUAAAAAUUAAUACCAGAGAUAUACGGACGACUAAGAGCCAUCAGCUUGGCUAUAUACUCUUAAUAGCUGCUUUGAAAUUCUUAGAAAUGAUCACUCACUCUCCCUCAGAUUUCAAGGGAAAAACAAUGCAGAAUACAAGAGAAAGUCCUGAUGCAAUAGUAUGUUCUGCAAUUAGUGACUCACAGGUAGUAGUAGAUUCCGUUUGUCCAAGGGACUCACGCAGCAGUUUUCUCCACAAUAGGCGAAAUGCCAGCCUUUUGUAUUUUGUCAAGGACCAUUAACAACAAACCAGCAAAAUGCACACCGCGUUAAUGCGUCAUUUUCAAAAUUUUCUUUAAUACAAGUAGUUGGGUUUUCUGUCUUCGUGAAUUUUGAAGGACGACUUAUUCUUCUUCAGAAAACGAAAGAUGGAUUUGGGUUUUCAGUCGUCGUGAGUUUUGAAGGACGACUCAUUCUUCUUGAGAAAACGAAGGAUGGAUUACCGCAUAUGCAGGUUAUGUAGACUUGGCUUUAGCUUUGACGAGUUACCAGUACCACAAGCAGGGUUUGCAGACUUUGUCUUAGCUGUGCAAUUAUCAUACAGUAAAAGGCUAGCUUGCAUUUCAAGACGAAAAAAACAGCCGAUCCUUUGUCGUAUUUUCUGUACCAUUUCUAUCUACAACGGAUCCUCCGUCACAUUAUUUUGUGUUACUUUUUAUUUCACAUUUUAUUAUAUUACUAUUUUUUUAUAAAUAUUAUAUUUUAAAUUAUUUUAUUUUUUAAAAAUUCAAUAACUCUUAAUUGAGUAAAAAUAAAUACAACAGCUUUAAAAAGUAAUAUAUUGUGGAAAAUAAAAAAAAAUCCAGCAAAAAAUUCUUAAAAAAUCUCAUUUUUUUAUGUAUUUUAAUUUUUUGAAUUUAUUAAAUUUUGUGCGUUGCUUAGUUAAUAGUUGUUGGAUUUAAGGAAACAAAAAAAAAUUAAAAUAUAAUAUUUAUAAAGAAAAAAUAGUAAUAUGAUAAAAGAUGAGACAGAAAAUAAUAUAAAAAAUGAGAUAGAAGAUCCAUUGCACUGACAUGGUCCAAAUUCCAACAUGUUUAAUUGGGCGGAGCAAAUACGUGGAGCGUGAAUCCAGCAGAAAAUGCUCCUGUUAGCUGCGCUCCUGCAUGAAGCGGUACCUCUUGGAAUCCAGCUCCUAAUUGCUUUAGUUGUAAGGAUUUCAAAUGCGGAUUUAAUCCAGUUCCUGAUAGUAGUAGUAAUUGAAAUGUUCUCGAUCAAAAUUUUUUUUUAUUUUUUGAAGGAUUCUCAAUCAAAUUUCUAGGUACAAAUUUAAUUUCAAUUUGAAGACUUGUUUAGAAUUAGUUAUUUUUUAACGAAGAGCCCCAAAGAAUACUUUUCUUUGGGAAGGGGGAACGAGACUGCAGGUUGUGUUGUUCCACUCUCAUUUUUAAUGAAAUUUCAAAAGGAACCACAAAUUUUGGAUCCCACAGAAAUGAAAAGCAAACAGAGAAAUUAAAUAAAGAAAUUGACGAAUCCAAUCUGCAUUUUGUGAUUAUCCGAAAGCCACUAGGGCAGUACUCAGUUUUUUUUAUUAUUUUCUUUUCUUUUCUUUUUUUUAAACAUUGAUAAAAAGCUUCUUAGGAGAUUAUUAUCUAUUUCUUUAACGCAUUGGUUUUGAAAUUCUAGGCCCAAACAAAUUUUAGAUUGUACUAACUUUAUUUGUAACCAGAUAAAAGGAUUCUAUAUCCAAUCAACCAAAUAAAAACCUGUAUGGGAAAAAAUAGGAGUUAAAGAGGGCUGAAUAUAAAAUUACUUCGACAUAUCUCUAUUGUCUAUGGUCUAAAUUCUUGUUUGAUAACUCAAUUUAAUAUUUAAAAUUAAUGAAUUCAGAUCUUAAUAUAUUGAAAUACGUUUGAUAACAAAAAAUUGGAUAUCUAAAUUAAUUAAAUGACACUCAAUUUCGUAAAACCUGUUUCAAAAAAUAAGUGACAAACUGUUUACUCAUCACUUAAUGUGAUAUACACUCAAAUGUAUCAAGUUUAGAAUUUAACAAUUCAAUAAUUUAAUGAAUUUAAAUUUCAAAUUUCAAAUUUCAGUUUUCAGACUUCAAUUUUAUCAAAUGUAUCCUAAAUUUCUUCAAGCCAAAAUGGAAAUGUCCAUUAAAAAUAAUAGUUUUGAUAGUAGAUUAUUUGGGACAAUUUUUUGAAAAAAAACUGUCACUUUUUUUUGAUAUGAUGUAUAUGAAAUAAAAAUGUGGUUGAAAAUGUUUUGAUGAAAUAAGCAAAUAAAAUUUGACAAAUAAUAUACCAUCCAAACAACAGCACUAGCGAACAAUUUUUUUUUUGUUUUUUGUUUUUUGCACUAAGUCGCCCCUGAUUCUUGACGUAUAAGCACCUCAAUUUCGUGUAUGUGGGCUAGCAACAGCUUACAAGUGAAAAUCAGAAAUCAAAGGGUGCAUGUGUACAAGAAUUGUCCACGAUUAAUUAGGAGCAGAUCUACAGAACUCGGAUAACGUUUACUGUUGAACAUGGCAGGCCUUUAUGACAAUAUAAUUUUACUGGAACAAGAACCAUGUAACUACAACACUUGAAGUUAAAAAAAUGAUAAUCGUUAAAAAUCUUGACUAAGGAUACAUAAUUAGAAAAAAAAUGGAAAUUUGGAGAAAUAUUAUGACAAUAAUAAAGCAGAGCAAAGCUGAUCAAAUCUUCUAAUUGUAACAUUAACAGUGACUCGUGGUAUAUUUCAAGCCGCCAGUUGAGAUAAAUGUAUACCUGGAAAGAAUCUCUGAAACUCUGAGAAUCUUUAAAGGCCUAGAGAAACAAAUAUACAAGGUCAAUAUGGAAAUCCCAUUUGCAACGAGCUUGGCUCAAGGAGAGAUGAUUGAAGCGGCUCGUUUUGUCUUGUAAAGAAAAAUUCCCCAAAUCCUUUCCUUUCAACAGUUUCAAACAUUCUAAGUCAGACUUUUUUUUUUAAUAUGCAACUGAAAAGAAGUAUUGGCAACAACUUAACGUUCCAUUGUUGUCCAACCGGAAACUGUCUGCAAGCUCCAUUUUUCACUUCAAAGAUGAACUCCAAUAUCUCUAUCAUAAGGUCUGUUCCUUUCAGAAGCAUGAUUAAAGUAUUUAUACAGAGUAUUUAAAGUAGUUGAGAGCUUAAAAAAGCAUCCUGUUAGAACAAGUUGCUUUACGUACAUCAGUUUGUGAUUAUAAACAAUUAAAACCCAAUAAUAUCCUUAAUUUGUUCAAAUAUCUUUUGGAUUGUUUUUCUCAUCACUGGUAUGAAACUUAAUCGAUCUAUCUAGUCAAAUUUAGUCAUAGAGGGCACGAGUUGCGUUUCAACACCUAUAGGAACUAAUCAGCAUUCCUUAUCCUUAUUCAUGUUGAAAAAUCAGUAACAUCAAAAGAUUUGGUUCGAACUUACAAGAAAUACUAUACUCACGUGCACUCUCGUUCUAUGAGCUAGUAACCAAAGCAAUACAGAAACUACUGAUUACAAGAUAUACUGCUGCUAAUAGUUAGAAGGAAAUAUAUGUUGGCUGAAGUGUUAGAAAGAAAAGAGAAAUAUGCAAAAACAAGAAGAAAAUGCAAAAGAGCAUAAUGCACUGUUACUUUUUACAACAGAUAUAUAAGUAACAAUAGCUAAAACGAAUGGAGAACUGCAGCAGUAAAUCCCGAGACGUUAUACAUGGUGUGCAACGUAGCUAACCUUCCAAUAACUUACUGCAUUAGCCAAAAACUGUCAAGUGAUCAUUCGUGAACGGUAGAAUUUUCACUUAAGCAGGCUGGUUUCAUUGCAUGGAGACCAAAUCAGUACAAGAAUAGCAAUUAGUACCAAAUAAACCAUUACAACAGUAAUCAGAAAACUAAAAUUUGAAAUACUAUUUAACAGUUGACAAAGAAUCAAAAAUUCAAAGCAAGCAAAACUUAGGCAAAAGUAGAAUAAACUACAUCAAUGUACACAUUGUUAUUAUACCAUGGGAACAAGAAAAGUAAAUCUGGAACAUAAUUUCACACCAAUCUGCUAAUGAAAUUCAGAAUUAAAAAGACUUUUUGACUCCAAACAGUUCAAAAGCCUCAAUCAUAAAGUGUACAUAGUCAGCAUGGCAAUUGCAUCAAUCAAGGAUAAGAGUUUCAAGAAAUGCUUGCUCAAAUUUGUUCUCUUUCAGAAGCUUCUAAUAUUGCUGCCAACUCCCUUUCAACAGCCAGCAAUGCAAACAUAUACAUGCAUUGCCAACUGUCUGCUAGCAAAAAUACAUGUCACUUGAGGCUAUUCUUAUUGCUGAAGGCACAAAAUUUAGUGAGGAAUGGACUAUAACAAACUUUUAAAGAAUGAGGUUCACAUUUUCAACAGGACAUCAGCACGUGAGAGAAAGACAGGCAGACAGAGGAAAGAGGAAACCGCUCAACCCUUCACUCCAUUGAUGAAGUUUUCAACUUCUGAAUCAUGAAUAAUGGGGCAUGUAGGUCAUACAAUGAUCAUUCCCAUGUUGUCUCAGCAGACUAAUUCCGAUUAAAAUCAAACAAUGAAAAUCCAGAAACUACUUCUAAAGGAGAAAAUACAUUAUAAUCCAAAGGUUUGGGAAGCUACUAAUGCUAACCAUAUUGGCACACGAUUCCCUAUUGCUCCUCCAUUAUAGAAGCGCGGAUGCAUAACCAGCUUCCCUCAGCCUCCUAACUUUGUCUAAUCCCUUAGUUAUGCAAAGUGCAUAAGCCUAGGCAGAGUAGGGAAACUCGUUGUAGUAGAUUGUGAGCAGCAAUGUGUUAUUGCAGUUGCUUCAGUUCACAAUUAGACCUCAGAAAACUCUCACCACUUCCCAAUAUCUAUUGGACAGUUGAAAGCCACAAACACGCAAGACUAUUUAAUGACGUUAGCAGGCAGCCUGAAUGUGGAAACAUCAAGUAAGUUACAUUUAACAUUAUUUUGAAUUCCAGCAGUGUAUAGCCUGAAUAUGUUCGUUUUAGCUGAUCAUGGGUCCUUAAACAGUAGAGCAAGUGUGCACAUCAAGUACAACAGUGAGACUUAAUGUGAGUGACAUUGCCAGAGAAUGGUGUCUUUCUCACUGUAUACAUCGUCACAAAGUCUUCCUUUGGACGAUACAAGCUUAUAACAUUACCUAGUAAAAGUUCUAUUAUGUUCCACGGAGUCGAGAUGUUUUGGCCGUGUAUUGCACUACGAUAAGCUCCUUGUUCAUUUAAUUUAUGAAUUUAGAAUUUCUAAGAUAUCCAAAUUUUCUAAUAAGACGGAUAGAACAUCCACAUUACACAAAAAAGGGAUUCAUCUGCCUGGAACCCAUAAGGUUUUUCCAAACCAAUAACGUCCGUGAAAGAUAAAGGUCUACUGCCAUAAUCUGCCCAUUUUUGCUAGUUCAAAAUAACCAAAGGAAUAAAGAAAUGAGGCCAUAAAACCAAGCACAGACGCGUAUCCAGAUUUCCUAACUCUCUGUCUAAGCCAGCCAAACCUAACACCAAUGGCCCCUCCAUACAAAACAACAUCAAUCUGAGAAUGGCUACUCCAUAGAGAAAUACUCAAUCUUAAAUUAACACGGUAUCAUCUUCACUAAAAUUCAAUAGAGAUUUUAAUCAAAAAAUCAACUAGCAGAUUAAAUGGAGUUUACAACAAAACUCACCACUGAUAUAAAGACGAUAAAUUUGUUUCUACCGAGAAGCUUUCUUAAUGCCCAUCAAACCCCGAGAAGCCAAUUCGUCGAAACAAAUACGAGAUAUCCGAAAGAACUGAUAAACUGCGCCUGGGCGACCGGUGAGAAUACAACGAUGUAAUGAAAUGCAGAAGUUGGACUGAAGCUGAAGAUAUGCGCUAGGAAGAAGAAAUGAAGAAGGCGUGGAAUCCAGUAACUGAAGGUGUGAUCAAGAGGAAGAGCUUCAGCAAAGGCGCAUAUGCUAAACCACGCCUUUGCUGGGUUUCAUCUAUUCCAACAGAAAGCCAAGAAGCGCAGCAACUUGCAGCUGCAAUUAGGACACGUGUUUGAUUCUUAUUGGUGUAGUUAGUGUUGAUUUUCAACAAAUGUUGGCAGCCUCAAUUCUUGAAUUUGGAAGCCAACAUUGUUGACUUCUCUUUGGCACAAUUUAAUCCCACAUCGGUUGGGUUAUUGGAAGAAACUUAGCUUGAGAGCUAUAAAUAGCUCUCAAGUCCUUCCAAUUUGAGGUGUACCAAGAACAACAAAGAAUUACCCAUAAGGAUUUUGUAAUUCUUUGUAUUCUUUCUUCUCUCCUAAAUUAUAAAAGCAGGUCGCUUGAGUGGUGCUCGGAGAGUAGGCAAAAUUGGCCGAACUCCGUUAUCAAUUUUUCGGGUGCGUUCUUUCCUUAUCUCUUUUAUUUGUUCCGCAUUUAUUUAUUAGUUUCUUUUCUAUUGUAGUAUAGUAUUCAAUAUAUUUGUCUAUAUUUGUCGGGUAUAUUUGUAGUGUUUUAUACGGUUCAUUCGGGUGUAUUUUUCUUAUUCGUGUGUACGUAUUAUUUAUGUAUAUACGAGUAUAGUUGUGAUAAUACACCGUGCACGUAAGUUCUGUCUAGGAGACUGGGUUUUAAGUGAGACCGCUUGUGACCCCUCCAGCCUUUCCUGGGAAUUUACUUGGAAUGAUAAUUCUGUCUAAGGAGAUUGUUUCGACGAUCUUUCCUGAGAAUUACAGAAUCGGUUUAAUCACUAGUUGUAUUUUUUGAGUGGGAAAUUACCCGAUUUCCCCAACAGUUAGGAGUCUGUUAGAGAUUGAUAACUUUAUAAGCAGGCUUGUCUGCUUAAUCGAUUCUCAGCUUUUGAAUCAAUUUUGUCCAGAUUAGUUGUAAUAGCUUGAGGAGCAAUCCUCAUAAUUUCCCUCCCAAAUUUUCCUUCUGAUCUUACACCUUCUUAGCUAAAUUCAUUAUCUCUAUUUCUUGUAAUUUGUUUCAGAUUCAUUAAUGAAAUUGAGCUCAAUACAAUCACUAUUCCAUUGAUCAACCAUUGAACAUUACAAUCAAGUUUGCUUCCUUUGACAUUUUCUGCACUUUGGCUUCUGUACCAUAACAGUGGUAUCAGAACUAGCUACGAGCCAUUGGAAAAAUGACUAAAAACCAAGACGAGAUGAGAAAGGAGAUAACUGAACUAGGAAGUGUGGUUAGAACUUUUGUUAAUAGAAGUGAUGGACUGGAGCAAGCUGUGAGGAUCAUGAAGCACAGACAGGAGAGCACUCAAAAACCUGGAUCAGAAAUAUGAAGGCAUGAUGAACAUGAUGGCACAAAUGUUAGUGAAAUUAAACGGCAAGGGGAAGGAUAUAGAGGGCAGUAGCUCAGAGUCAGAAUCAGGACAUCAGGAAGGAGGCAGGAAAAAGAAGAUACAGAAAGGAGUUCUGGAUAGAUCUGAGCCCAAGGAAAGCAGAUCAAUCACCAGGCUACCCAAGGUGGAUCUGCCACCAUUCGCAGGGGAGAACCCAAGGGAGUGGAUCAAGAAGGCCAACAAGUAUUUCAAGAUCAAUGGAGUAGAGGAGGAAAUGAAGUCUGAUGUUGCAGAACUCUAUUUCAGGGAUAAGGCAGAUAUAUGGUUUCAUGGUGUGUUCAAUGGUAGGGAGGUUGUUCCAUGGGAAGAGCUCUGCAAUGCACUAUAUGAGAGAUUUGGAGAUGGUUCCCCUGAGGAGGCUAUAGAGGAAUUCAACAAAUUGAUGCAGACAGGUUCAGUAGCUAACUACUUGGAGAAAUUUGAAAUGUUCAAAGCCCUGAUAAUGCCGUCCCUUCCUCAUCAGCGAGACUGUUAUUACAAAACAUGCUUCCUAAGUGGAUUAAAAGAAAAAAUAGUAACUAUGGUGAAAUUAGCCAAACCUAAAACACUUGCAGAUGCUAUAAAGGUUGCCAAACUGCAGGAGAGGAACCUGAGAGCCUUGCAGAAAAUCCACAAAACCCCUUCCUAUAGCCCCAAUUACCAGAAACCUCUGCUUAAAAUCCCAAACUACUCCAAAUUUCCUGACAAACCCCAAGCUAUCCCAAAUUACCUGAUAAACAGAUCCCCAAAACCUACAAUAACCACCCCAAUACUCAGAACCAAUUCAAAAAACUCACCCCAGCAAAGCUCAACCAUAGGAGGGAGAAGGGACUUUGCUUCAAAUGUGCUGAGCUAUAUACUAUAAGACAUGCAUGUAAACAAUCACAUUUAAACCUAUUGAUUAUGGAGGAGGAGGGGAUACCAGUUACUGAAGAAGAGGGGGAGAAGAAGGAUGAGACUGAUGUAUUCUGUGACUGUAUUGGAGGAGAAUUAGAAAAUGAACACAGAAGUUUCCAUCCAUGCCUUGGCAGGGGGAAGUGAGCACAAAACCAUCAGGAUAAAGGGGAUGAUUAAAGGGAAGACCAUUAUUGCCCUGGUUGACAAUGGUAGUACACAUUGUUUCAUUGAUGAACAAUUGACUAGGAACUUGAAGCUGGGAACCAAAGGAGAGGCUCUGUCAGUUAGAGUGGCCAAUGGAGAAAGACUACAGUCUAGGAACAUCACCAAGCCUGUGACAUGGAAGAUGCAGGGAUAUGAGUUCCAGCAUCAUUUCAAUGCCCUAAGGUUGGGGGGUGCGAUAUUAUACUAGGAGUUGAUUGGUUAACUAGGUACAGUCCAAUGGAGUUUGACUUUAGAAGACUAAGUACGAAGUUCAGAAAGGGUAAGCAGCAGGUUGAGCUAAAGGGGGAGGACAAUUCAGUACAGUUGAAGCUAAUAAGGGAAAGUAGAUUAUACAAGUGGACCAGGAAACAAGCAUAUGGAAUUCUGGCACAGGUGAGUGCAGUAGAGGACAAGGAGCCAGACCAAGAGCCAACACCACCAGAAAUGGAGAAAUUACUGCAAAGGUUUGAGGAUGUAUUUCAGGCACCUCAAGGACUACCUCCUAAGAGGAUCCAGGAUCACUGCAUCACUCUCAAAGAGGGGGCAAAGCCAUUCCAAAUAAGGCCCUAUAGGUGUCCUUACAUCCAGAAGUCUGAGAUUGAGAAACUAGUGCAAGAGAUGCUGCAAACUGGGAUCAUUCAGUUGAGUAGCAGCCCUUUUGCUUCACCAGUACUUCUAGUCAAGAAGAAGGAUGGCUCAUGGAGAUUUUGUGUGGAUUAUAGGCAACUGAAUGAUCUCACAGUCAAGAAUAAGUUCCCUAUGCCCCUUAUUGAUGAGCUACUGGAUGAACUGCAUGAAUCCAAAUACUACUCUAAAAUUGACCUCAGAGUAGGGUACUUCCAAAUAAGAGUACGUGAAGAAGAAAUUCCCAAAACAACCUUCAGAACACAUCAAGGGCUAUAUGAAUUUAAGGUCAUGCCAUUUGGGCUGACCAAUGCACCCGCAACCUUUCAAGGCCUGAUGAAUCAGGUAUUUUAGAAACAACUAAGGAAGCAUGUAUUGGUAUUUUUUGAUGAUAUACUAAUCUACAGUCCUACUCUAGAAGAACAUAUCAAUCAUGUUACUGAAGUCCUGGAGAUUCUGAGGCCACACCAGCUAUAUGCAAAAGAGAGUAAGUGCUCCUUUGCCCAGAAGCAAGUGGAAUAUCUAGGCCAUAUCAUUUCAGCAGAAGGAGUAAGAGCUGACCCCAAGAAAAUUGACAGCAUGAUGCAGUGGCCAAGACCAGGGAACACUAGGCAGCUGAAGGGAUUUCUUGGUCUAACUGGUUACUACAGGAAGUUUGUCAAGGGAUAUGGUGCUAUUGCAAAGCCUUUAACUACCCACCUCAAGAAGGAUGGCUAUAGCUGGAGAGAGGAGGCUGAAGAUGCUUUUCAGAAGCUGAAGUUAGCUAUGUGCAGUACCCAUGUACUUGCUCUUCCAGACUUCUCCUAGCCCUUUGUGAUAGAGACAGAUGCUCGCUAUGGAGGAAUAGGAGCUGUUCUGAUGCAGAAUAAGAGACCAUUGGUUUUCCUCAGUCAAAGCUUGGGACAGAAGAAUUUGGGAAUGUUAAUUUAUGAAAAGGAGUUGCUGGCCUUAGUCACAGCAGUCACUAAGUGGAGGCAUUACUUGGAGGGGCACCAUUUCAUCAUCAACACUGACCACCAAAGUUUGAAAUAUCUAUUGGAAUAGAGGAUCACCACCCCCUCCAACAGAAGUGGCUGACUAAACUGAUGGGACUGAGCUAUGAGAUAUGCUAAAAAAGGGAAAGGAAAAUGUAGUAGUUGAUGCACUCUCCAGAAGGGGGAAGGAGGGAGCUGAGUGUGCAGCAACUACCACAGUCAUACCAGAAUGGAUGAAAGAGGUAAUGGAAAGUUACAUUGGUGAUACCUAGGCUCAAGAUCUCAUCAGGGGCAUCUUAGCAUUUCCAGAGCAGGAUUCAGACUACAGCUAUCAGAGUGGAAUUCUAAGAUAUAAGGGAAGAGUUGUCGUAGGACAGGAGGGAGAAAUAAGGAAGAAACUUAUUUCUGCCCUUCAUGACUCUCAGCUAAGGGGACAUUCAGGCAUACAGGCCAGUUGGAUAAGAGCCAAACAGCUAUUCCAUUGGCUAGGCAUGUUCAAGGAGAUCAAGGCAACAAUAUUACAGUGUGAUACUUGCAGGAAAUGUAAGGAUGAACGUGUGGCUUAUCCAUGUCUGCUCCAACCCCUCCCAAUCCCACAGCACUCUUAGAGUCAUGUCACCAUGGAUUUCAUAGAGGGACUACCCAAAUCAGAAGCAAAGGACACUAUCCUGGUUGUAGUAGACAGGUUUACUAAGUAUGCUCACUUCAUGAGCUUAUCCCACCCUUUUGAUGCCCCUAAAGUAGCUAGAAUUUUCCUGGAUCAUGUCAGUAAGCUACAUGGCAUUCCACAAAGUAUGAUCUCAAACAGGGAUAAGGUCUUUAUUAGCCAAUUUUGGACUGAGCUAUUCACACUACUGGGAGCAGGAUUGAGCCUAAGUACAGCUUACCACCCCCAAACAGAUGGCCAAAUAGAAAGGGUAAAUCAAGUAUUGGAAAUGUAUCUCAGAUGUAUGACUCACCUGGAACCAAAGAGAUGGAACUCCUAGUUAUCUUUGGCUGAAUGGUGGCAUAAUACCACUUUCCACACUGCUGUACAGAUGAGCCCCUUUGAGGCUUUGUAUGGGACCAAGCCUCUCUAGCUAGCGCUUGGACCAUAUAUGCAAACUAAGGUGGCAACAGUGGAGGAUUACAUGAGAGACAGGAAGAGAAUGGACGAACUAUUACAACACAACCUAAAAGCUGCUCAGGAGAGGAUGAAGAAGUAUGCUGGUGAUCACAUGAGUGAAAGGGAGUUCCAGGUUGGAGAUUGGGUAUAUUUGAGGUUGCAACCUUACAGACAAUCAUCUGUGAUGAUCAGGAACAACACCAAAUUAUCUGCUAAGUACUUUGGGCCCUACAGUAUAGAGGAAAAAAUUGGAAAGGUGGCCUGCAGGCUCAGGGUACCUGCUACAUCAAGGAUCCAUCCUGUGUUUCAUGUGUCUCUGCUGAAAAAAAAAGCUAGGGCACCAGAUCACACCUAUCCUACAACUACCAGACACUGAUGAAAAGGGGCAGAUUAGAGUAGAGCCUAUGGCACUAUUAAGCAGGAGGAUGAUCAAGAGGAAGAAUGCAGCUGUGACUCAAUGGCUUAUUCAGUGGUGGGGUGCUGAACGUGCAGAAGCAACUUGGGAAGAUGCUAAGUAGAUAAGGGAGAAGUUUCCUCAAUUCCGACCUUGAGGACAAAGGUCUUACGAGGGGGAGGUAUUGUAAUGAAAUGCAGAAGUUGGACUGAAGCUGAAGAUAUGCGCUAGGAAGAAGAAAAGAAGAAGGCAUGGAAUCCAGUAACUGAAGGCGUGAUCAAGAGGAAGAGCUUCAGCAAAGGCACGUAUGCUCAACCACGCCUUUGCUGGGUUUCAUCUAUUCCAACAGAAAGCCAAGAAGCACGGCAACUUGCAGCUGAAAUUAGGACACGUGUUUGAUUCUUAUUGGUGUAGUUAGGAGUCUGUUAGAGGCUGAUAACUUUAUAAGCAGGCCUGUCUGCUUAAUCGAUUCUUAGCUUUUGAAUCAAUUUUGUCCAGAUUAGUUGUAAUAGCUUGGGAGCGAUCCUCAUAAUUUCCCUCCUAAAUUUUCCUUCUGAUCUUACACCUUCUUAGAUAAAUUCAUUACUUCUAUUUCUUGUAAUUUGUUUCAGAUUCAUUAAUGAAAUUGAGCUCAAUACAAUCACUGUUACAUUGAUCAACUACUGAACCUUACAAUCAAGUUUGCUUCCUUUUACAUUUUCUGCACUUUGGCUUCUGUACCAUAACAAACGAUUUCGAAUUCGGGUAAAGUCGCCGUUUCUUGGCAACUUGGCCAGCUUAUAGCGAUGCUUUCUCCUUCAGCUCAUUCGGACGUUUAGGAUCUUUAACGAGGGCUUUGUAAAGAGCUUUCGCUUCACUUCAAAUGUCCCAGCCAUUAACCGGCAGUUAUUAAUUUUCAUACACCGCCUCUCCCUUGCCAAAGCACUGAAAUUCCUCGCCAUUGGUAUCUGUUGGGAGAAUGGCGAAGAAAAUGAACCAGCCCCCGUCAUUGUGGUUUUCAGUCUAGCCAACUCUUGGCAUAAAGCUGGCCCGAUCAAUAUUUCUCUGAGAACGAGAAUGACCCACCUGCCGGCCGGCGUCCAAAAGCAAGAAAAAAAAAUCAUUUUCCUGCUUUAUUUUUCACAGGCGGUUUUGGGUUUUGGGCUCAAUAAUAAGCUUAGGCUUAUUUCAGUGGGUUAUCUAUGCUGAAGACCCAGAAUUAUGCUUUUAAAUUCAACCAUUAUAGUUCCGACUAUGGGAAAAUUACUAUCGGGUAAGUCUUUUGAAGUUGGGGGGACAAAAUGCUAAAUACUUCAUCGAUUCUAUUUAUUACGUAAUUAUUCCUAUCAUACCGUUUGCCCUUUUUUGCCUCCCACCCCUCCCAUACCAUUCCUAACACCAUAUUAUACCCUUAUAAUACAUAUUGGCAUGUACCUUAAAAAAUAUUCUUGAAAAUACUUGUACAUUUCACAUAAUCUUAUAAAAUGCGUAAUAAACUUUUGCAUAUUGUACUUCUUGAAUUAUAUUUUAAUUUUUGGGAAAGUUUCUUCAUAUGUGCAUGUAAUAAUAAAGAUAUAUUCGUCACUUAUACGUAAAACAGCACCUAUGUAUCUCAUCACUUUAUAGAUUUAUAUAUAUGUAUCUCAUGCUAAGUAUUCCAACUCUAGUUGAGUCAAGGGAUUUUAUAGCUCUCCCUAGUUAACUCUCUCCAAUCAAUAAUUGAAUGCUUACCCUACCAAUAAAGAACACUUACAAGUGAGGCCUACUUCUCUAAAGUUUUACUCCUCCUCAAUGAGAAACUUCACAAAUCCAAGAACUUUUCCCACAUCUAUACAAUAUUCAAAAUAUUUUUCUAUCCAAAAAGCACUAUUAAAAGCUUAUAUCUCAUAUAGACAAAAGUCCCUCUUCUUUUCAAACUUGGAGGUAUUAAUAAGUAGUGAAAUUUUGCUCCAAAAGUCACUUCAAUGGUUAAAAAGACUAACUAUUAAAAACUAGCCGUUGAACUUGUCGAACAUCUGAUUCAAAUGCUCUGCAUCCGAACCAUCAUCUAAUCCUACUUUGCAGUUUCUUUGUUGAAUCAUUUGACAAGCUGAUGUAGCGUUCGAGAGAUGCGUUUGACAGAAAUAGAGAGUUUAGCCAACUUCUCGAACGUCUGAUCGCCAUGUUGUGCAUCCAAUCCAUUGUCUGAUCAUUAGAGUUAGCAUUUCUUUUCAUUCAUCAGAUGUCCUAUCCUUCUAACCAAUGUCUGAAAUUUUGUCCGAUACUCAUAAACAAAUUUCAUUUCUUCUUAAUCUUCAUCUUUUCUUUUGCCAAAUAUUUAAGCAUCCAUACUAGUAAAAUUCUCACUCAAAAUUUUAUUUGAAAUCAUAAUUUUAACUUAUUAAUUAUCAAAACCAAGGAUUGAUCAAUCUAAAUUUUCAAUGUCUUCUUUUUUUAUGAUAACAAAUAAAAUGAUAAUUUCUUUGAUCAAAUAAACUCAAAUUGAUUCCCCCUAAAAACAAGCCCAUCAUUCAAAAAAAAAAUUAUCAUUCAAUCUACUACCCUUUUUAGUAUUAUAAAAAAUAAAGCAUAUAAGUAUGAGGGAAAAAUUGUUUAUGAAUUAAUUAUGAAUAGCUCUCCCUAAAAUCAACCACGUAGCAUUUUCAAGUGUCAUAACAACGAGACUUCCCAUGAGAUAUUACAUUUGACUUUCUCCUCAAUUAAGACAAUAUUGUUAAUGCCAAAACUCUUCCUUAAAAUAACUAUGUAGAUCAAAUAAGCAUAAAAUAAUAAAUUAAAAUUGAAGAAUUACUUCCCUUUAAAGGCAUAUAGUCAAGCACAUAUAAGGGAAUUCAUAUAAAAGAUCAUUUCAAGUCAAUUGUUACUCAUUCUUACAAUAGUUCCUGCUAUUUCAAAAAAUGCAUCAAUAAGAACCAAUGACUAUAUAAAAACAUCAUCAAAAUAAGACUUGAUUAACAAUUAAUCAUAUGUGAUGUAACUAUCUCAUUUAUUAUGAGGCUAAGAACAUUCUUAUGCAUUCAUCUAUCUAAACAAGAUAGAAGACAUGAGGAUCACUAUGGAUGUCUAAUAUAUUUUCUUAUAAGAUGCUAACAUGCAUAGAUAUAGCAUUUAAAUAUAAAAUUGGAAAAAAAUUCACUUGUACAAAAUAAUAUGUCAAAUUUAACUAAAUUAGGACAAAAUGUUCUCACACAUAACCAAGGUGAUACAUUAUACCUAAUGAUUAAACUAUGUCAAACUUACGCAACUUAGCAUAGUCCACAUACAUGACUCAUGGCAAGUUAACAUUGAGGAUUUUAAAAAAUACUAACUCUUUUGAAAAGUGAGUGCUCCCCUUUCAUUUUGCAAGGCAUGAAUUCAUUUAGAAAAUAUUAGGAGUUAUCACAAUCAAGCAUUUAUCUAACCAAAAUCAUCAAUUUGAAUGCCAUUUUCAAAUAUAGGACAAAUAUGAAUGAAACUUCAAAAUAGUUAGACAUUCCAAUACCAUGUGUUCUAUUCUUAAAACAAAUGUAAAUUACAAUACAUGACACGACUAAGUGUGUAAUCAAUUCUAAUUUACAAUACCAAUAUUCGAAGUAAAUAAUAUAGUUUAAGUUUUUGAGAUCAAAACUCAUGGUUGGCACACUUUGUUUUAUUUAGGAGUCAUAUAACCUCUUGUGAGUCAUGAUGAAUUCUAUCAUCACCUUAGUUUCUUUCUUGCUUACUUUACUAUUUUCCACCCUUUUAUAUUUUUGACUCCAAGUAGCAUCAUGUGACAUCCAUUGAGGUUUACUUGGGUCAAGUUCUCUAUAGUAUAUCUAAAUAACAGAAAUUAUUUUGAUAUCCAUUCUUCUUGGGUUCGAGGGGGAUUAGUGGUGUUUUUCACUAUCCAAAUGACCUUCAUUCCUAAAUCAACAUUUCUUUUUAAAUAACAAUCAUUUUUCAUAUGACAGUAUUGACAACAAUAAUUGCAUAUAACAUCAUCAUUUUUAACAUGUGACAAUUUCAUAAAGCAAAAACCAUCCUUUAUAAAAAUAGUGAAGUUUUUGUCAGCAAUUGUGUUCCUACCCUCUUUUUUUUCUAAAAUACUUUGUUUUCCUUUUGAAGAGAAUCAUUAAAAUCAUCUAUUUUUUUCCUUAACCAAGUUUGAUCUUCUAUGAUCUUUUCAUGAUACCGAGUUUUCUCAUUCAAUUUUCUUUUCAAAUCAUCCUUUUUACAAACAAAGCCAACUCCAUUUUUUUUUUCAAAUCGUCAUUUUCUUUUUUUAGUCUCUUAUUUUCUUGAAAAAGUUCAGAGUUCUUAUUCAACAAAACAUUUAUUUUAGUUUUUUAUUCUUUAUUCUUAAAUUGUGAAAUAUUUUGAGUAUAAAUGCUUCAACACCAUUAUUAUCACCAACAUCACUAUCAUCUUCAUUAGCAAAAAGGAAAUUAGUUGAUAUCUCGGUAUUUUUAAAAGUUAUAAAUGCCAUUUGAUCUCUUUCACAUUCUUUUUCAACUUUACUACCCGAACUACAAUCAUUCCAAGUGAUUCGGAAGUUAUUGAAGUUUUGUCUCCUAUUUCCUCUAACUUUUGUGGUAUUUAAAAAUUGGUUGUUGUUUGGCCCAUCUCUUUUGAAUCUUCUUUUGUUGUUAAAGAGUUUCUUGAAGUUUUGGUCAUAAGAGUAACAUAAUUUUCAUCAAGCUCUAUGUCCUCACAAUUAAGUAAGAGUAAAUCAUCUUUUUCUUGAGAAGUUUUGAGUGCAAUGCUCCUAUUGAGUCUAGUUUCCUCUUGAUCUUGCACUUUUAAUUUUAGUUUCAACUUAUAAGAGAUUAAUGAAUUAAUAAAAUUUUUGCCUCUUCAUUUGCCAUGGCUUUAGUUUCCCACUUUUUAAACAAAGCAUUCAAAAAUUUGCUAUUUCGUUCAUCUAAAGAAUAUUGUUUUACCAAGUACUUCAAAAUCUUUGAUAAUAUCAUUAAAUUUAUCAUACAUCUUAUCAACAUUAUCAUUUUCAUGAGAUUCCAUUUUAAAAUAUUCAUAUUGAGUAACAAGUAUAGAUUUCUUUUAUUCUCUAAUAUCAUCACUAUCUUCAUGAAUUUCUUUGAACUUAUCCCAUAUUUCUUUAGCCAACUUGCACCGUUUAAUUCUAGUAGAUUCAUUGGUAUCUAAAAGCAUUGUACAAAACGUUCAUAGCCUUGGCAUUCAAAUUAAGGUUAGCCUUUUCUUCAGUACUCAAUUUAUUUCUAACUUUAGGUCUAAACCUACCUGUAUUUGCAUCUAAAAUAGUAGUUUUAUAAAGAUCUUCAUUAAUAAUAUACUACAAUUCAAUAUCAAUAGAUUGUAAAAAUAUUUUCAUUUGUUCCUUUCAACUAACAUACUUAACACCAUUAAACAUAUAACAGGUGUCGAGCCUGUGCAAUAAUAAAUACCUACUCAAAUAAAAUGCAAAUUUUUGUAUAUAGCGAUGAGUAGGGUCGAAUCCACAGGAAUUGAAAAAAUUCAUUUCUUCUAGAGCCCAGAGUAUGGGAGAUUUUUAUAAAAUUAGGAAUAAUUAAACAACUCAAAUAAAAAGGACUAAAUUACAAUUAAUUGAAAUUGAAUUAAUAAUAAAUAAACUCUAGCCAAGAAAUAACUUAUGAGAUGGUUCACUCAAUUAAUCAUUGAUGCAAUAAUAAUUUCAUUUAUUCACUGAUAAAUAAGUUAUAACUAUUAAACAAGUGAUGGCAAUCAACUGUAUUAGUGAUUAAGGUAUGACCAUUAACCACUUCCCUAAUCAAGAAAUAAUUCUAGGUAUGAUUUUAGAGUUCAAUUUCUCGGAGGUUAUAAGGUGGUAAAAUGUAGAGGAUUGUUUAUUGGUAGUUAUAAGGUGAAUGUUGCUCCCUGUGAGUCUCGUAUCCUUUUUAUGUUUAAAUUAUUGUUCAUCCUUGCAUUUACUUGAACGAAUGAUUGAAUGCACACAUGAAUGUUAUUGUUUAUCAAGUAUUUUACAUUGAAAAAUUUCUAUUACAAUUAAUUGCUCUGCUACCAAUUUCUAAAGUUGAGUAGCAAUUUACUUGAACCUAUAGUACUUGGAAAAACAUGUUUACAUGUUAAAUUAUGUUAUUCUCUUAUUUUACCUGUUUAUUUGGAAUGCUCAUAGGGCAUAAGCUUAUCUCACGUUUUGUUUUCCUUAAUAGGAUUCGGAUCCGAGAGUGCUCAAGAAUACUGUUGGAAUAUUUUGAGAGAUUUUAAGUUUUAUUCUAGUAGUAAUGACUACAGUGUAUAUAUUUUUGGGUUGUAAUUAAGAUAGAUGCCGAAUGAUGAAUCUUUUGUACGUGAACCUAUGUAAUAGCUUUUGGAUGUAUGUAAAUGUUAUUUUGGGGUGUAAUGAAUAUUAUUUUUGUUAGUUUAGAAAUUUCAUGUAAUUCUUGCUAUGGAUUGUAGUGAGCUCUAGCGAGAUUUGGGUAGGCGGUCUGCUGGCCACUUUGGUUCGCCUUUGGGGAAAGUGGAACUGUCACAAUUGGUAUCAGAGUCUAAGCUUCAGAUCAUUGUAAAGUAUCCUAGGCUGAAAGUUAAGGAUAUCGAACUGUGGGACUAGUGUGGUUGUUAAGCGAAACAUUAAACAUUUAUGAUCUCGAUGGUUCUUAAGACAAGUUCUUUGCGUUUCUUAUCUAGGAAUUGGCGGGGAAAGAAGAGAAUUGUGAGAGGUUAAUUUCACGAAUAAAUGAUGAGUUUCUUGGAUAACGGUAAGACUUAAUAUCUAGGAGUCAAAUUUUUUACUUGAAGGCUUAUGAAGCUCUCAUUUCAAUUGAAAUAUCCCUUUAGGAUUUUGAAAUUCGAAUGUACUUGGCCGCAACUAGAAGUGACUCUUGGAGUGAUUGAUUAAGUACAGUUUUCUCGCAACUUUCGUUGACAGAUUUUUGUUUUAGAAAGAUAGAAUUGACCGGAUCGGUUAUGAUAUGAUCUAGUGACCAUUGAUUUUGACUUGUGUGAAAGGGAUAAUGGGGUUGGAAGUGAGAAUUGUUUAAUGUGUUUAAUGCCUUCAACUUGAAUGUGUAUGACACUUGGUUUCUGUGAGGACCCGAAAAUUAUUUUAUUUUAUCUUAUUUCUUUGAGUACAUUUUCUUUACUUUACUUUAUUUCCUUAAUUUCUCAUAUAUUUUUGUAGGUGAAUCAAGUUUUAAAUCAUUUUCUAUGUAUAAGUUAGUGCAAGUUAAAUUCGUAGUGCAUUAUGGUAGUAGGACCUUGUAAGUCCCAAAGACAACCAAGAGGGGGGGGUGAAUUGGGUUAUUCAAAAUCUUAAUCAGAUUUAGGCAAUUUUUGCUAAAUUAAAAUUUCCUUCUUUUCUAGUAAUGAUCAACCAAGUGGAUUAGAAGGCAAGAGCAAUAUUGAUCAGAAACACAAGUAUAAACAAGCAAUGAGAAUUUUAUUAAACAGAAAAGUAAAUUGGGGAAUCAAACCAAGUGUCUACCAAGCUAUCCUCAAACUUGAAGACCACACACUAGGAAGAGCAACUUCUCUUUGAUGGAAGACGAUCAACUAGAUGUACAAUGGAGGGAGCACUUCCUCCUUGCCCUAAGCCUCACUUAGUCAAGCUAAGAAGUUUUACAAUCACUCUGAAAACCCUCAACAAAGCUACACUAAAGAUCCUUUCAAUCACAAAAGAAAUGCUCACCAGAAAUUCACACCACUUUAAAACAAAUCUAGCUUUGGAGACUAUUUUCUAGCUAAAAUAUCUCUUGAGAUCUUGUAAACAAAGUGUGCAAAAGUCAGUACUUCGUUCAGACCAGUUUGAUUUUAAAGGGAACCAGAAAUGGGCUUCAUCAAUGCUUCCAACGAAUAGAAGGCAGCUGAAGAGUCAACUAGCCGUUGGGGCUGUCGGACGUCCGACGAUCAAAUCAUCGUCCGAACCAAUCGUCCGAUGGCAUCCAAGUUGACGUUCGGACGUCCGAUGCGUCUUGAUCGUCCGACACCGCAGCGUCCGAUCGUAGGCAGAGAGUUGGCAAGUCAGCUUGGAAUUUUUCGGACGUCCGAUGCGGUUGAUGAGCGUCCGAUGGCAAGCGUCUGAUCCUUCCGGACGUCCGAUGCUUCCUCACGAGCGUCCGACAGAGCUUCCUUCUUGAUGCUCUUUAUCCUUUCGGACGUCCGACAGAUUCCUUUCGGCCGUCCGACGUGAGUAUCCUGUUUUUGCUUCUUCUUUUGGUUGAAAUGCAUUUCAUGACCUAUUCAUACCUGAUUCUUUGAUAUGUAAAGACACUUAUAAUCGAAGAAGGUUAGAUACAUUUCAAAAUACCAAGAAUAGCAAAAUUGUCAUACUUAAAGGACAGUAUCUUUGAUUGGAACAAAACAAUGACUAAAUUCAUUCAUUUUAUUCCAAUCUUGUUUGCCACAUCCAAAGCAACGUAGUCAGGAGAUAAACGAACAUAUGCUUUCUUUGUUCCAUCAGACCUGAUCAAAGUGUUCACUUUCUUGGUUAGUAUAAACAUUUCAAAUUACUUUGUGAUCAUCAAAACCAAGAAUAACAUUCUCCCCCUUUUUGAUGAUGACAAAACAAAGGUUUGAAAUGAGAUUUGAUGAUUUGAAUAAAAUCUCCCCCUUUCACAAUAGACAAGAACUCCCCCUUUCUUAGUGAAUCAUAAACAAUUUUGAAAAACUCCCCCUCACUUGGCUGCCCAACCGAAUUACACAAUUAUCCAAUUAUACAAGCCAAUCCAAUCAAUCCAAUAUCAAUCCAACAUCAUCAAAUUCAAUCCAAUAUCAAUCUAUAGAUCCGGCCAUCUCCCCCUUUUUGUCAUCACAAAAGGGUAAUCAAUUUCAUCCAUAAAUGCAAACCACAGUCAUUCACAAACACAGUCAUUACACCAAUGCAAACCAAAUUCAUUAUAUUCACACAAUCAGAAUAGACAAACAAACAUCCAUCAAAAUACUUAGACAUCCAUCAACACAGUACUUAAACAUCCAUCAAAACACACCAAAAGAAACUUAGAAUAUCCAUUACAUUUCAUAUUCAUUGUUAAAUACCACAAACACAUAAAUAAGAUAAACAAAAUGCAAAUGUCCUAAAUGAUGAACUAAGUGGAUCCAGGUGUCCUCCGAGAGAGCUGAUAUUGGUCAAGAUCCUCCUCUUCAGUUUCUUCAUCAUCUUCAGCAGCCUCUUCAACUGGUGCCUUGCCUUUAUCUGAUGUAGAGAUGCCAUGAGGAGUCACAGGGGUUGAAGAACCAGGAUCCGGAAUUGAUGAACUUGGAUCAGUGGGGUGUGACUCUUUGUCAUGGGAAACUUCCUCAACCACAGGUGGAGGAAAAAGAAGAUUCUUUUUGUCAAGAAAGGCAGUUUGUUGCUCAGAAGACAUGGUGAGCAUGAGACCAUGUUCUAGAAGAAGAACAUGCUGUUUGAGUUCUUGAAGAAGCUCAAUUACUUCAUUACUGGAAGAGGAAGAUGCUUUAGUGGCAGAUUUCCUAGGGUGAAUGGGAGUGAGUGAAAUGGGUGAAGGAUCAUGUGCAGUCUUGGACCUAAGUUCACUAGAAGAUGCACCCUUAUAAGCCCACAGAUUAUCUUUGAAAACAAGAUUUUUCCUUUCAAAAUACCCUUUUGUAAAGGCAUAAGAAGAUGCUUCUUUAGGACAAACACCUAGAAUAGGGACUUUGUUAAACUCAAAAAUCUUUUGAAAAAACUUUCCAUAAGAUAAUUUUCUGCGAGAAUCAGUGGCAUAGCGAAGUAAGAACUUGCACAUGACAAAACCAAAAUCAAUACGAAUUUUUUCUUGAAAACAAUAAAAGAGGUACAACUCCAUUUUGUUUGCAUCAGUUCUAUGGCCAUCAGUAGGCACAAGCAGGUUUGAAAUGAUAGAAAAAGCAAUUAAAUUCACAGGGGCCAGAUCAUUCAAUUUAGCAUCAGCAGGUGAGGAAAAACUUCUUUUGAAAUAGGUUAACAUUUUUGUCCCAUCAAAAUGAUUUGCCACAGUCGGGAGCUCUUCAUAGGAAAAGAAAUUAGCAAUCUUAUCUUUGCAUAAACGUUCAAUGGUAGUAUUUAAAAUGGAGUUCACAAUUUCAGAGUCAAUGAUUAAGUCUACCCCAUUAACCCUGGAAAAUAUUUCAGUUGGGUCAGAACCUUUCCUUAAAUUGGCAAAAAAUUGAUGCAACAUAUCAGGAUAGUAGACAUUUGGCAUAGAAAUAAGAUGUGACCAUUUCUGGAAAGCAAAUAGACUCAGAAUGGAUUCUAAACCUAUGGAGCGAAAUUCAGAGGGGUUUACAGUUCUUUGAGGGAUGACACCCUUCUGGGAUAUCCAGGAGUAUUUGUCUUUCGCAGCAUCAUCAAAGAAUGUAGGAGGAGGGACUGAUUUAGGAGGCGGUUGAGAAGAGGUCCCCUGUCCAGAUUCUGGUUGAGAAGUGAGUUGUGGAGUAGGUCGUGACAUUUGACCCUUGAUAGCUCCCCUUUUGAAGCGUUUAGAUGUCCGUUUGACAGUGGGAAGAUCCUCAUCCACAUCCCUGAGUGGAUGCUUGCGUCCGGCAGUAACUUUUCAUCCCCUUAGAUUCACCAUUGCGCGAAAUGUGUGGAAUGAAGAAUGCAAAUGAUGCACACAGCAGUAGGGAAGUGAAUCGAACAAAAAUUUUGGAACAAAAGACCUUGUACAAGAUUUGACAGAGCGGUUAUGAGAAGGUAGGGUUUUGAGGAAAAUUUGGGAAUGUGCGAAGUGAUAGAUGAUUCUGUGAAAUGAUCAGGAAAAAUGACUCGCAAUUGACCAGGAACUGUUUUGGUUGAGUCAAUUUGGGAAUGGGGGCUUCAGAAUAAUAUGAAUUUGGGAGUGAGAGACAAGAGGGUUUUCGUCCGAGAGAAAAUGAAAUGGGAAGAGUCUGAGGCAAUUGAGGAAGAAAGUUGUUUUAAAGAAUGAGCCGUUGCACUGUCGGACGGCCGAACGAAGUUGUGCGUCCGACAGCUGCGUCCGAACAAGCGCAAUCUGGAAAAUGGCUGAAGAACAUCAUCGGACGUCCGUUCACUUUAUUUCGGACGUCCGAAGACCCAAAGAAAAUUAAGAUGAUUUUUCGAUUAUUCCUAAUUUUGAUCUUAGAUGAAUGAACUGUUCUAAUGGCAAAGCUUUGGUAAAAAUAUCAGCAAAUUGAUCUUUAGAACAAACAUAAUUUACACAUAUGUCACCUUUUUGAACAAGAUCACGAAUAAAGUGAUGCUUUAUAUCUAUGUGCUUUGUCCUAGAAUGAUGAAUAGGAUUUUUGGUCAAAUUUAUAGCACUAGUAUUAUCACAGAAUACAGGCAUGCAGUCAUACAACAAUCCAAAAUCAUUCAAAGUGUGCUUCAUCCAUAAAAGUGGAGCACAACAUGCACUAGCGGCAAUAUAUUCCGCUUCGGUUGUAGACAAAGAUAUUGCAUUUUGCUUUUUGCUAAACCAAGAGACUAAACAAUUUCCAAGAAAAUGACAAGUUCCACUAGUACUCUUUCUAUCCACACGACAACCUCCAAAAUCAGCAUCCGAAUAACCGUAUAGUGCAAACUCAUUAGAUCUAGCAUACCAAAGUCCAUAGUCUAAUGUACCUUUCAAAUACCUAAAAAUUCUUUUUACAGCAUUCAAAUGUGAUUCUUUUGGACAAGAUUGAAAUCUAGCACACAAGCAAACAGCAAACAUAAUAUCAGGUCUACUUUCGGUUAAAUAGAGUAGGCUUCCGAUCAUACCUCUAUAUUGCUUUUCAUCCACAUGAUUACCUUCUUCAUCUUUGUCAAGCUUUGUAGAAGUGCACAUUGGAGUUCCAACUUGCUUUGAGUCCUCCAUGCCAAACCUUUUCAGCAACUCCUUGGUAUAUUUUGCUUGAUUUAUAAAAAUUCCCUCAAGAGCUUGAUGUAUUUGAAGUCCAAGGAAGAAAUUUAAUUCUCCCAUCAUACUCAUUUCAAAUUCACUUUGCAUAGUGGUGGAAAAAUCCUUGCAUAGAUACUCAUUAGUAGCACCAAAAAUAAUAUCAUCAACAUAUAUUUGCACAAUAAGAAGGUCAUUCAACACUUGCUUAGGAAAAAGUGUGGUGUCCACAACACCCCUUUUGAAACCAUUUUCAAUCAAAAAACCACUUAGUCUUUCAUACCAAGCUCUUGGAGCUUGUUUUAGACCAUAUAAAGCUUUAGAUAGUUUAAACACAUGACUUGGAAAUUUUGUAUUUUCAAAACCGGGGGGUUGAUCCACAUAUACUUCUUGAUCAAUAAAACCAUUUAAAAAGGCACUUUUAACAUCCAUUUGAAACAAUUUGAAGCCUUUAAAGCAUGCAAAAGCAAGAAGCAUUCUAAUAGAUUCUAAUCUUGCUAGAUCUUGAUUUCAGCUUUAUGAACAAAGAGGGAUCACCGGUCAUAUGCCUUGAACAACCGCUAUCAAUGAACCAUUUGGACUUGUGUGAGCAUUUUUCCUGAAAAGAGAAAGUGUUUGGUACCCAUUUUAAUUUUUGGGUCCAUAAUAGUUAGCAUUAUAUCUAACUAACCACAUGCAUUUCAUCCCUUUGUUCAGAUUUCUUUUCACAUAGCAAUCACUUUUCAAAUGCCCUCUUUGACAACAAAAACCACACAUAAUGGAAGAGUCCUUAACAUGUACUGGUUUGACAUAUCUUAAUCCACCUUUUCUAUAUGUUGUGAAACCAUGUGCAUUUUUGUUGUGUGCAAAUGUUCUUUGAAAAAUAGUAGGAUGUGUAGGUGACAUGUUCCUUUUGAUAAACUCCUGCUUUCUUGCUUUCAAAGUCUCAUCCAAGUUGUCCAUUCUCCUUUUUAAAUCACCAUGUCUUUCCUUCAGCAUUUUACAAAUAUUUGUCUUUCUAUCAAGCUCAUUCUGAACAUCAAAUCCGGCUCUUACAAGACAUUCAUUGUCAGUUUUUAGUUGUUUAUUUUGUUGAAGGAGACAUGCAUUUUCAUGAAUGAGAAAAGCAAUUUUCUGUUUUAGCUGCUUGUUCUUAUCAUAAGAUUCCUUCAAAGCAUUAUGCAGUUUUUCAACAAAGGAUUCAAGAUCAUCAUCUUCUUCAUCAUCACUUUCAGAUUGAGAGUGUAUGGAAGUUACCUCAUUAUCUCCAAUAGCCAUGAAGGCCAUUUGAGCUGAUUCUUCCUCUUCUUCAACUUCCCCUUCAGAGUUGCAUUCAUUCCAAGUAAUCUGGAAGUUGUUGAAUCUUGGCUUUCGAUCAGCUUUUCCAUCUUUCAUUUUCUUCAUGGGGCAUUCGUUUGCAUAGUGUCCAGGCUGUCCACAUUCAUAGCAUUUGUCCACUUGCUUCUUGUUGAAUUCUUGUUUUCCUUUGUUCCUUGCAUUUGAUGAAUAAUUUUGGAAUUGAUUGCUAGGUCCUCCCUUUCUGAACUUCCUUUUAUUCAAGAUUCUUUUGAAGCCUCUUGUGAUGAGAGCAAGAUCAUUAUCAUCACCAUCCGAAUCUUCAUCAUCCAAGUGAGCUGGAUCAUCUUCACUUUGAGUAGUCUUUAGAGCAAUAUUUCUUUUUGCUCUAGCAUCCUCUUCCUCCUGCACUUUAGAUUUCAGUUUUAACUCAUAAGAGGUUAGUGAGUUAAUGAUAGAUUCAAUAGGCACAGAACUUAAAUCCUUAGCCUCCUCUAUUGCAGUCACUUUAUUUUCCCAUUCUUUGCCCAAUGCAUUGAGAAUUUUUCUGUUCUUCUCUCCCAAGGUGUACUCUUUGCCCAACACCUCGAGAUCUUUGAUCAAGUCAGUGAACCUGCAAAACAUUUUGUCAAUAUCCUCAAGAGGUUCAAUCUUAAAAGAUUCAUACUUUGUGACCAAGAUGGCCUUUCUCUGUUCUCUCACAUUGUCACCACCCUCAUGGAUUUCUCUUAACUUAUCCCACAUUUCUUUGGCUGAUUUACAGCCUUUCACUCUAAUUGAUUCAUUUGAAUCUAAGGCACUAUAAAGAACAUUCAUGGCCUUGGCAUUCAAUGUGAGGUUAGUCCUGUCUUGAGCAUUCAUUUCAGCUCUCAUUUUUGGCCGAAGCAGCCCUGUAUCUGCAUCAAGAAAGUUAGCUUCAUGCGGUCCUUCACUCACAAUAAACCACAGUUCAAUAUCAAUAGAUUGCAAAAAAUAAUCAUCCGUUCUUUCCAGCUAACAUAGUUGGAGCCACUGAACAUGGGAGGCCUAGUAACAGAUUGCCCCUCAACAAACAUAGCAUGACUGGUUGUCAUCUUUACUCCAAGCCGUUAGAGCUUAAUCUCAAGGAGACCAAGCUCUGAUACCAAUUGUAAGUCCCAAAGACAACCAAGAGGGGGGUGAAUUGGGUUAUUCAAAAUCUUAAUCAGAUUUAGCAAUUUUUGCUUAAUGAAAAUUUCCUUCUUUUCUAGUAAUGAUCAACCAAGUAGAUUAGAAGACAAGAGCAAUAUUGAUCAGAAACACAAGUAUAACAAGCAAUGAGAAUUUUAUUAAACAGAAAAGUAAAUUGGGGAAUCAAACCAAGUGUCUACCAAGCUAUCCUCAAACUUGAAGACCACACACUAGGAAGAGCAACUUCUCUUUGAUGGAAGACGAUCAACUAGAUGUACAAUGGAGGGAGCACUUCCUCCUUGCCCUAAGCCUCACUUAGUCAAGCUAAGAAGUUUUACAAUCACUCAGAAAACCCUCAACAAAGCUACACUAAAGAUCCUUUCAAUCACAAAAGAAAUGCUCACCAGAAAUUCACACCACUUUAAAACAAAUCUGCUUUGGAGACUAUUUUCUAGCUAAAAUAUCUCUUGAGAUCUUGUAAACAAAGUGUGCAAAAGUCCUACUUCGUUCAGACCAGUUUGAUUUUAAAGGGAACCAGAAAUGGGCUUCAUCAAUGCUUCCAACGGAUAGAAGGCAGCUGAAGAGUCAACUAGCCGUUGGGGCUGUCGGACGUCCGACGAUCAAAUCAUCGUCCGAACCAAUCGUCCGAUGGCAUCCAAGUUGACGUUCGGACGUCCGAUGCGUCUUGAUCGUCCGACACCGCAGCGUCCGAUCGUAGGCAGAGAGUUGGCAAGUCAGCUUGGAAUUUUUCGGACGUCCGAUGCGGUUGAUGAGCGUCCGAUGGCAAGCGUCCGAUCCUUCCGGACGUCCGAUGCUUCCUCACGAGCGUCCGACAGAGCUUCCUUCUUGAUGCUCUUUAUCCUUUCGGACGUCCGACAGAUUCCUUUCGGCCGUCCGACGUGAGUAUCCUGUUUUUGCUUCUUCUUUUGGUUGAAAUGCAUUUCAUGACCUAUUCAUACCUGAUUCUUUGAUAUGUAAAGACACUUAUAAUCGAAGAAGGUUAGAUACAUUUCAAAAUACCAAGAAUAGCAAAAUUGUCAUACUUAAAGGACAGUAUCUUUGAUUGGAACAAAACAAUGACUAAAUUCAUUCAUUUUAUUCCAAUCUUGUUUGCCACAUCCAAAGCAACGUAGUCAGGAGAUAAACGAACAUAUGCUUUCUUUGUUCCAUCAGACCUGAUCAAAGUGUUCACUUUCUUGGUUAGUAUAAACAUUUCAAAUUACUUUGUGAUCAUCAAAACCAAGAAUAACAAGACCUACUAACGCGGUAUGUGCGAUAAAUUUUUGAAGAUUAGGAGAGUUUUGUGCAAAGAGAUAUUAUUUUAUAAGGUGUUUAUGGGAUAAUUAGAGGUCGAUUAGAUAUUUUAAUGAUUGGAAGACAAUAGGAUUGUGACGCCCCACCUCCCCCUAGGGCGUACCCCAGGGUUUAGUGGACGCCUGCCCAACUCUAGCCAGGCUCACUCACUCAUAACUAAGGAAAAAAAACUAAUAAUACAUCCAUAGAAAAUAAAUAACACAUCCACUUUAAUUUAAUAUAUACAUUGAUGUUUAAAUCAGGUACAAAGCUUCUACAUACCAAAGUACUUCAAAAUAUUUACAAUUCAAGUACAAUCAACCCUAGUCGGGUACCAGUAUGAGUACAAAUUCAAAAUUCAAAACAACUAGACUAUACUAGCCUGUACAUGUUUCAUGCCUCGCUCGUACCCCCCUGUAAGGAAAACAAAUGGCGUGGAAUGAGCUAAAAGCCAGUGAGGUUUCAAAUAACAAAUGACCAUUUUUUAAAAGUACGAAUAUCAAUGUAGCAAAUUAAUGAGCUCAAAAGUUCAAAAAAGUGACAAUAAUACUUCAAGUAGCAAAUCUCAAAGUGAGCAAGUAUAAAAGUUUUCAAAAGAAAUAAUAAUCCAAUAAACAAUAAUCAUUCCAAAGUAUAAGGAUACGGAUGGCUCUCAGGAGCCAAAUUCCAUUGCAUCACCAGAAUUUGAUCAAGUAAUAGUUGCACUCCAUCAACCUUUAAGUAAGUAACCAAUCCAGUAGCACCACUUAAACUACUCCCGUCCACCAUCCACACCCCCUACUGGGCUCAAAAUCCUCAAUAAACACUGGUGGUAAUACUGAGUAUACCGAUUAGUCGAGAAAUAACACUCCAUUCGACAUCACUAACUCACCAUGAUUCGUUAUCUAAUCGACCAAGCCCUUGCCGGCUUGACUCGAUUAACUAGCCAGUGGGGUUGGGUCCCCAAGAAGUCGAUGAGAUAACAUCUUCAAUCGACGAACUAAAUAAAAGUAUAGAGAUAGGAAUGAGAGGCACCUCCCACUCAAAUUGAGUAUGGUACAUACUGCGCCUCCAUACUUACAAAUCAAGUACAAGUAUAUCAAGUUAAUUGCAACAAUAACAAGUAUAUAUCAUGUUAGGGCAAAGUGCGAUAAAGUACACUCUUGUCCGAUCAACAAAUCUCAUAUCAUUUAUUUAUAUUGAUCAAGUAUUGUGAACAAGUGUCCAAUUCAACAAGGUAUUUGGAAGCACUCACAAAAGAUGCGGUGCCUUUACGAGUUACGUUCGGAUAUUAUUCGUGGUGGAGUCCAAAUCUACGAUAAAACAUUGUUUAAGAGCUUUUGAAAGUAACUAAGGUUCGAAACUUAAACAUAUUUCGUUUAACGAGAAUCACAUAAUUGAAACUUAUUUGAUAGAAUAUUUAUAAACUCAUGCUUGGUCUUAAAACUUGGAAAAUUUGAACCAAGUAUACUUUGAAAUACCAUUUGAGUCGAAGAAUGGAGAAAAUGUAUUCUAGUAGUCGUUACUUUCAUGUUAUCCAAGAGGUACAAGUUUUCGACAAAAUUUAAGUUAUAUACCCUGACUAAAAAAAAUGUAAACACCAUAGGUGAUCUAUGCCCAACUUAACCUCAAAUCGUCACUCAGGUCGCAGGUAUAUCCACCUAGCCCUCGAGUGUAGAUUUGAGCAGCACGUCCUUUGUAUUUACCUAUUUCCAACCAUUUAUGGCUUCAUUCUUUUCUUCAAAUCAAUCCCCAAAGUUACACACAAAAUCAUCUCAUUUCAAUAGCAUUCCAUAGGCUCAAAGUCAUAUAAGUACCAAAUCAAACUAGGAACAUGUGCGGAAAUGAAGUUUGCGUCAAAAAACAAAAGACAGAUUUGACGUGUUUUUACGUAACAGACACAACCGAGGCUACGCUUAUCGGAUUGAGGUGAAACUAUAUACCAUUUCGAAGCUAAAACAAAAGGUUACAACUUUGAUGAAGACCACUUAGUCCAGUUCGUAGUGUAUCUAGCUCAAAAUCUCAAAUGACAGAACCAGAAUCUCACAUUCAGGCUUGGUAACCGCCUUAUGCGUAAACGACAAUAAUCCGGCUACGAAGUCCAAUUAGGGCAUUUUUAGGGGUGUUAGAAAGCUAAGACAUAGCACUACAAAUUCUGUGUUUUGGCCAGAUACUAAUUCAGUAAGGAUCAGAGUGAACAGAUGCGGUCAGAUUGGUGAAAUGUCAAAACUGUCCAUUGGACUGAACCUAUGGUAGUCAGGGAUAUUUUUAUCUUUUCACAUGUUCCAAUGCUCUGAUUGAGCUGAAAUUUACAGACAGCUAUAAACUAUAAUUCUCUACAACUUUCAUGUUUGUAUUAAGGCUAAUUCGGCCUCUAACAUGAUCAAACAGUGCGGUCAGAACAGGGAAAGUAGAAAACUGAAAUCUGGAAUUCAUGAAUACAAGUAAUAAUCUUCACAAUUCUAGCUUGGAAACACUACUUCACUUCCUUAUCUAUACUUAUUCACAUCAUAAUCCAUCUAAACAAGAAGAAAUAUGGCUGAACAAUACAAAAUCCUAACUUACUAAUUCUCCCAAAAUCAUCACAACUACUUGCAUAGCUACCAAUUUACCCAAAACAUGUAGUUGUAUAGCAACUUAAGCAAGAGUAAAGGAACCAAAGAUGAUGGACAGCCAAUAUACCUCUCAAAGAUGCUUGUAAGAGUUAUCCACCACCCUUUCCUUGUAAACCUUUUGCACACCAAGCUUUCCAAGUGCUCAAAGAAAGAUUUAACCGGUUUAGAAUCUUGUUUUCUCACUCAAAUGGAUCAAGCUCAAGAUGAAAUGGAGUUCUUUUCUUGCUCUCUCUCUCCCUCAAGCUCAUGGUUUUCAGCUAGAAAAAUGGAGAAGAUUGGAGGUUAAGAAAGGUUAUAAGACUUGGUCUUGGUUUGGGUCAAAGGUGCUUGGAUAGCCUCCACUUGUCACCACCAAAUUCCAUCUCAAUUUUUUUUUCUUUUUCCUUGUGUUUUUUCGUCAAUAAUUUCGGCCAACCUAAGCUGAGGAUGAGGGGAUAUUUUGCACUAUUAUCAAGGAUAUUUUAUGGUAAGGAAGUGGUAGUCAAGUGGUGUACUCAUUCGAUAACAAACGGUACCCAUCGGUUCAACCCGAUUUUUCUUAAAUCGCGUAUACUAGGGUUUUAUCUUAUAAUUCACUAACUUAUUAUUAUCACUUCUAAUUACACACUUAAUAUCAUCUAAAACUCACUCUUAAUCACUAAAUUUGAUCCCCAUUCUGUACCGGAUAAUCACACUACGGAUAGGCGUAAAAACCCUAAUUCGCGCUAACUUAAAAACCAAAGGGAAAAUCCUUAAUUCUAUAUUCAUUUACACUUAUUGUGGGUGAUUGGGUAGUAUGGCUAUUAGAAAGUAAUAAUUUCCAAAUAAAAUGGAAGUUUUAAGAAAAAUAUAAGGAAUUUCAAGUCCUCACAAGGAUGAGGAUUAACCAUGGCAAACCAUUUGCCACAAAAGCCUUGGACCAUUGACUUUGGCUAAGACCUUUCUUAACCUUUUAUUAACCAAAAAUUGACCAAAAAUCCUAUCAUCUUCUCCCUCUCUUGGCUGACCUUCAUGAGCAAGAAAGAAGAAAGAAAGAAACAACUCCAUUUCCAACACAAAAAACCUUGCUGAUUCUUGAGUUUUCACCUUAAUCUUGCAAAUCAAUCCAUAAAAGCUGAAUUUGAGGUAGGAGGGCGGCGAACUUUGGUGGAGAGUUUUUUGGAGGAAGAAGUUUGUGGCUGCUCGGUCGUCUUUGGGUUUCUAAGUAACAAAGUCUAGAAACCAUCUCUUGUUAUUUAACUUGCUUUUGAGUGGAUUUAAGGGCUUAAAUUAUGGUGGUAUUCAUGGAAAAUUUCAUGGUUCAUGUGGUGGAUCAAAAUUUUCAGAUUUGAUGGAGAAUUUCCAGCUUUGAUGAGUUCAUUUCAGUUGUGUUAUGAUUUAUUAGCAUUAGCAUAUGAUUUUUCAACUUUCCAAUGCUUGUUUGGCUUUAUAAUAGAAAUUUUCAACUUGUGAUUAUGAAUUUCAGCAUAGGAUUUAAUUUUUCUAACUUGAGUAGGUGAUGGUUAUAUGCUAGGUAUAUGCUUGAUUUAGUGAGUUGUUGGUCUAGUAUGUAUAUGCUUGAUUUGAGACUGUUUUAUGGUGAGAAUGAAGCCUUGAAAAUGGCUGGAAAUUAGGAAAAAAAGGGAAAGUGCUGCCAAAAAUUUUUUCGUAGGAGACUCUAAGUAGUCUUGGAAAAUCUAUCAUAUCUUGGUGUAGAAAAAUUCAAAUUGAGUUCUGCUUAUUGAGUUUGAAACUAGAUUCAGAGUACUUUCUAUCGUGAAAAUUUCAAAGUUUUCCUCAAUUCCUGUGAAUAUCUGUGAUUUUUCAAAAUUGACUGAAUUUUCAUUCCUGUUUUGACUUUCUACCAGCCGCUUGAGAUUGGAAUUUGACUGACUUGUGGAUAGAAUCUUUCAAAAGUAUCUUCUGAGAAACCCUUUGAAUCUAUUUUCCAGCAGUAUAAAUUUUAUAAAUUUUGGACUUAAGAAACUUGAGAUAUGAUUUUUCAAAUAGCGUUGCGCGAACUGGAAAAUUCUAUUUUCCUAAAACUAUCCUUACUUUCAUUCCAACUUUAAGUUGGAGUUGUUAAACCAUUUUGAGUUUAGUUUUAUGAUUGGAAUGAGGAAAUUCUUGAUUACUCAUGUCCCUUUGGUCUAAAUGUUCUCUUUACACUCCAAAACCAUAUUUGCAUCAUUGCACUAGUAGUUACUUGAAUUUUCUUUGGUUCACCUAAGUUUUGAAUGGUUGAACUAUAAUACUUUAUCUUGAUUGUUCUUAAGAUUUGUAGGUGAUCAAGGGCAUAAUCCGAGGGGCAAAUUUUUGACGUUAUUUUGCUUAAACUGGUGAGUGUCAAGUGUAUGUUUCUUAAUAUAUCUCGAUUUGACUGAUACCACGUGUUAUGUAUUGAAUUCUGAAUUUGACGAGGCGAGAGUGUACUUUAUCGCACUUGUCCUCCCCUUCUUGAAUGAUCUUGUACUUGCUUGAAUUUGAUUGACAUGUACUUGUGGUUGUGCUUGUGCUCGACUUGUAAGUGUUGAGCGCAGCAUGUACCACACUCAAUCUGAGUGAGAGGUGCCUCUCAUCCCGUCUCAGUACUUUUAUCCUGAUUAAGUCGAUUGGAAAGUUAUCUCAUCGACCCUAGUGCUGAGCGGCAGCAUAUACCACACUCAGUCUGAGUAGAAGGUGCCACUCAUCCUAUCUCAGUACUUUUAUCCUGAUUAAGUCGAUUGGAGAGUUAUCUCGUUGACCCUUGUAUUGAGCGGCAGCAUGUACCACACUUAAUCUGAGUGAGAGGUGCCUUCUCAUCCCGUCUCAGUACCUCUAUCUUGAUUAACUCGAUUGAAGUGUUAUCUCAUCAACCAUACUUGUUCUUAUUUGCAUAUAUAAUCGAGUAUUACCACCACUAUUUCUAUUUGGCAUUCGGCCCGGUUGGGGAUGAAACGGUGGAUGGGGAUUCGUGUCAAGUGAAUCUACGAACUUGUUAUUCGCGUGGUUGACAGAGUGUCAACAAAAGAAAUGACAUCCAAGAUUGUAAAAUGGCAAGCUUGUGGAUUAGCUCCUGAGAGCUCCUGUAUCCUAUUAAUGAAUAUGUUUUAGUCCUUUUAUGACUUUACAUGAAACCAUUGUUGCUAUUUUGUAUAUAAGUUAGUUGAGUUGAAUUAUGGUACUUGUUCUACUUGCUUGCUUGAUAUCUUGGCCUCACUGACGUCCCGCUCAUCCCUUUAAAUUGUUAUUCCUUAACAAGAAUUUGAAGUAAAGAAUUGGAGGUGUUAGACUAGCUAACUCUUGUCUAGAGUUAAUGUGAUUCUCUGAGCGACUUUUGGACAUUUGGAAAUGUAUAUUUCAUUUGUAUUUGAAAUAUUAUGGUUGUAAUAGUUAACGUUAUUGCUAAGAAUUGUGGCUGUUGUUAUUCAAGUACUUUCUGGCUUUAAGAAAUUGUUUGACUUGAAAAUCGUAGUUUGGUUCGAGUGAAUGCAUGAGUUCUGGCGAAAGUUGGGCAGACAGUCCAUUAAACCCUUGGUUCGCCCUAAGGGGAGGUGGGCUGUCACAGUUUCAACUUGUAUUGAUUAAAUAGCUCUGGUUCAGUCUAAUUGGUAGCUAGAAUUGAUUGUGACUAUGUUGCUUGUGGAAAUGCUUUAGUCUAAUUUGUCAAUUAUUAUUUUUGAAUAUAUGUGCUUGUCAUUGUAUGUUCACAUGCAUAUGUGUGUGUAUGUUCAUAAUGAGUAUUGGAUUAAUACAUAUCUACAUAGACUAGUUGAGGAAAAAAAAUGGAAGCUGGAAGACAACGACGGGGACGUCCACGUGAACAAACCCAAAAUCAAAGAGAAGAGAAUGGGUCUGUGGCUAAACCAAAACACUGAACCAAGGGUUGAGGCAAAUGAUCAAGUGGCAUUGGCUAUAAAUCAUAUGACACACUUGUUAGAACAUUUAGUACUCCCACAGGGCCAAGGGGCUAGACAAGUGAAUCAACAAAGAGACCAAGAUAUCAGAGAGGAUAAAGCAUUGAGAGAUUUCAAAAGUUUUCUCCCCCUAAGUUUUUUGGGAGUCCUGAUCCCGAAAUAGCUGAAAAUUGAUUAGAAAACAUGAUAAAUAUCUUUGCUGCUCUAAGAUAUACAGACGAAAGGCAAGUGGCAUUCGCCGUAUUUCAGUUUGAGGAGCAGCACGAUUAUGGUGGAAUGUCGUAAGGACUAAGUGGGAGAGGAAACAAGUACCCUGGACCUAGCUAAAUUUUAUCCAAAAAUUUAAUGACAAAUAUAUUCCCCCUCUUGUUCAAGAAAAAAGAGAAGACGAGUUAUAAGGCUUCAUCAGGUAUCAAGGAGUGUGUUAGUAUAAGGCUCAGUUUACAAAAUUAUCCAAAUUUUUUCCAGAGUUGGUUGCUACUGAGCAAAAGAGAAAAAGGAGGUUCAUUCAGGGCUUAAGUCUGGAAAUUCAAGAAUCUUUGUCAGCAGCUCAAGUUCCUACAUUCAGUGAUGCCUUGAAAAAGGUCAAAGGUUGAAAGUAUGAAAUCUCAAUUGCGAGCUUUUCAAACACGGAAAAGGGAUGCAUCUGCCAAAGUUGGGAGAAGAUGAACCACCUUCCAAAGUUGGGAGAAGAGCUGGAAAAGUACAACUUUCACUUCCAUCUCCACCAUGGCGGGAACCAGCAGCAACUAUAAUAAAAGGAACUCAAAUUGAAAGGGAACCAUCAAGGGAAAUUCCGNNNNNNNNNNNNNNNNNNNNNNNNNNNNNNNNNNNNNNNNNNNNNNNNNNNNNNNNNNNNNNNNNNNNNNNNNNNNNNNNNNNNNNNNNNNNNNNNNNNNNNNNNNNNNNNNNNNNNNNNNNNNNNNNNNNNNNNNNNNNNNNNNNNNNNNNNNNNNNNNNNNNNNNNNNNNNNNNNNNNNNNNNNNNNNNNNNNNNNNNNNNNNNNNNNNNNNNNNNNNNNNNNNNNNNNNNNNNNNNNNNNNNNNNNNNNNNNNNNNNNNNNNNNNNNNNNNNNNNNNNNNNNNNNNNNNNNNNNNNNNNNNNNNNNNNNNNNNNNNNNNNNNNNNNNNNNNNNNNNNNNNNNNNNNNNNNNNNNNNNNNNNNNNNNNNNNNNNNNNNNNNNNNNNNNNNNNNNNNNNNNNNNNNNNNNNNNNNNNNNNNNNNNNNNNNNNNNNNNNNNNNNNNNNNNNNNNNNNNNNNNNNNNNNNNNNNNNNNNNNNNNNNNNNNNNNNNNNNNNNNNNNNNNNNNNNNNNNNNNNNNNNNNNNNNNNNNNNNNNNNNNNNNNNNNNNNNNNNNNNNNNNNNNNNNNNNNNNNNNNNNNNNNNNNNNNNNNNNNNNNNNNNNNNNNNNNNNNNNNNNNNNNNNNNNNNNNNNNNNNNNNNNNNNNNNNNNNNNNNNNNNNNNNNNNNNNNNNNNNNNNNNNNNNNNNNNNNNNNNNNNNNNNNNNNNNNNNNNNNNNNNNNNNNNNNNNNNNNNNNNNNNNNNNNNNNNNNNNNNNNNNNNNNNNNNNNNNNNNNNNNNNNNNNNNNNNNNNNNNNNNNNNNNNNNNNNNNNNNNNNNNNNNNNNNNNNNNNNNNNNNNNNNNNNNNNNNNNNNNNNNNNNNNNNNNNNNNNNNNNNNNNNNNNNNNNNNNNNNNNNNNNNNNNNNNNNNNNNNNNNNNNNNNNNNNNNNNNNNNNNNNNNNNNNNNNNNNNNNNNNNNNNNNNNNNNNNNNNNNNNNNNNNNNNNNNNNNNNNNNCUAGAAGAUGCACCCUUAUAAGCCCACAGAUUAUCUUUGAAAACAAGAUUUUUCCUUUCAAAAUACCCUUUUGUAAAGGCAUAAGAAGAUGCUUCUUUAGGACAAACACCUAGAAUAGGGACUUUGUUAAACUCAAAAAUCUUUUGAAGAAACUUUCCAUAAGAUAAUUUUCUGCGAGAAUCAGUGGCAUAGCGAAGUAAGAACUUGCACAUGACAAAACCAAAAUCAAUACGAAUUUUUUCUUGAAAACAAUAAAAGAGGUACAACUCCAUUUUGUUUGCAUCAGUUCUGUGGCCAUCAGUGGCACAAGCAGGUUUGAAAUGAUAGAAAAAGCAAUUAAAUUCACAGGGGCCAGAUCAUUCAAUUUAGCAUCAGCAGGUGAGGAAAAACUUCUUUUGAAAUAGGUUAACAUUUUUGUCCCAUCAAAAUGAUUUGCAGCAGUAGGAAGCUCUUCAUAGAAAAGAAAUUAGCAAUCUUAUCUUUGCAUAAACGUUCAAUGGUAGUAUUUAAAAUGGAGUUCACAAUUUCAGAGUCAAAGAUUAAGUCUACCCCAUUAACCCUGGAAAAUAUUUCAGUUGGUCAGAACCUUUCCUAAUUGGCAAAAAAUUGAUGCAGCAUAUCAGGAUAGUAGACAUUUGGCAUAGAAAUAGAUGUGACCAUUUCUGGAAAGCAAAUAGACUCAGAAUGGAUUCUAAACCUAUGGAGCGAAAUUCAGAGGGGUUUACAGUUCUUUGAGGGAUGACACCCUUCUGGGAUAUCCAGGAGUAUUUGUCUUUCGCAGCAUCAUCAAAGAAUGUAGGAGGAGGGACUGAUUUAGGAGGCGGUUGAGAAGAGGUCCCCUGUCCAGAUUCUGGUGAGAAGUGGGUUGUGGAGUAGGCCGUGACAUUUGACCCUUGAUAGCUCCCCUUUUGAAGCGUUUGGAUGUCCGUUUGACAGUAGGAAGAUCCUCAUCCUCAUCCCUGAGUGGAUGCUUGCGUCCGGCAGUAACUUUUCCUCCCCUUAGAUUCACCAUUGUGCGAAAUGUGUGGAAUGAAGAAUGCAAAUGAUGCACACAGCAGUAGGGAAGUGAAUCGAACAAAAUUUUGGAACAAAAGACCUUGUACAAGAUUUGACAGAGCGGUUAUGAAGAAGUAGGGUUUUGAGGAAAUUUGGGAAUGUGCGAAGUGAUAGAUGAUUCUGUGAAAUGAUCAGGAAAAUGACUCGCAAUUGACAGGAACUGUUUUGGUUGAGUCAAUUUGGGAAUGGGCUUCAGAAAUAUGAAUUUGAGAGUGAGAGAAAGAGGGUUUUCGUCCGAGAGGAAAAGAAAGGAAGAGUCUGAAGCAAAUGAGGAAGAAAGUUGUUUUAAAAAUGAGCCGUUGCACUGUCGGACGGCCGAACUAGAAGAUGCACCCUUAUAAGCCCACAGAUUAUCUUUGAAAACAAGAUUUUUCCUUUCAAAAUACCCUUUUGUAAAGGCAUAAGAAGAUGCUUCUUUAGGACAAACACCUAGAAUAGGGACUUUGUUAAACUCAAAAAUCUUUUGAAAAAACUUUCCAUAAGAUAAUUUUCUGCGAGAAUCAGUGGCAUAGCGAAGUAAGAACUUGCACAUGACAAAACCAAAAUCAAUACGAAUUUUUUCUUGAAAACAAUAAAAGAGGUACAACUCCAUUUUGUUUGCAUCAGUUCUAUGGCCAUCAGUAGGCACAAGCAGGUUUGAAAUGAUAGAAAAAGCAAUUAAAUUCACAGGGGCCAGAUCAUUCAAUUUAGCAUCAGCAGGUGAGGAAAAACUUCUUUUGAAAUAGGUUAACAUUUUUGUCCCAUCAAAAUGAUUUGCCACAGUCGGGAGCUCUUCAUAGGAAAAGAAAUUAGCAAUCUUAUCUUUGCAUAAACGUUCAAUGGUAGUAUUUAAAAUGGAGUUCACAAUUUCAGAGUCAAUGAUUAAGUCUACCCCAUUAACCCUGGAAAAUAUUUCAGUUGGGUCAGAACCUUUCCUUAGAUUGGCAAAAAAUUGAUGCAACAUAUCAGGAUAGUAGACAUUUGGCAUAGAAAUAAGAUGUGACCAUUUCUGGAAAGCAAAUAGACUCAGAAUGGAUUCUAAACCUAUGGAGCGAAAUUCAGAGGGGUUUACAGUUCUUUGAGGGAUGACACCCUUCUGGGAUAUCCAGGAGUAUUUGUCUUUCGCAGCAUCAUCAAAGAAUGUAGGAGGAGGGACUGAUUUAGGAGGCGGUUGAGAAGAGGUCCCCUGUCCAGAUUCUGGUUGAGAAGUGAGUUGUGGAGUAGGUCGUGACAUUUGACCCUUGAUAGCUCCCCUUUUGAAGCGUUUGGAUGUCCGUUUGACAGUGGGAAGAUCCUCAUCCACAUCCCUGAGUGGAUGCUUGCGUCCGGCAGUAACUUUUCCUCCCCUUAGAUUCACCAUUGCGCGAAAUGUGUGGAAUGAAGAAUGCAAAUGAUGCACACAGCAGUAGGGAAGUGAAUCGAACAAAAAUUUUGGAACAAAAGACCUUGUACAAGAUUUGACAGAGCGGUUAUGAGAAGGUAGGGUUUUGAGGAAAAUUUGGGAAUGUGCGAAGUGAUAGAUGAUUCUGUGAAAUGAUCAGGAAAAAUGACUCGCAAUUGACCAGGAACUGUUUUGGUUGAGUCAAUUUGGGAAUGGGGGCUUCAGAAUAAUAUGAAUUUGGGAGUGAGAGACAAGAGGGUUUUCGUCCGAGAGAAAAUGAAAUGGGAAGAGUCUGAGGCAAUUGAGGAAGAAAGUUGUUUUAAAAAAUGAGCCGUUGCACUGUCGGACGGCCGAACGAAGUUGUGCGUCCGACAGCUGCGUCCGAACAAGCGCAAUCUGGAAAAUGGCUGAAGAACAUCAUCGGACGUCCGUUCAUCUUCUUUCGGACGUCCGAAGACCCAAAGAAAAUUAAGAUGAUUUUUCGAUUAUUCCUAAUUUUGAUCUUAGAUGAAUGAACUGUUCUAAUGGCAAAGCUUUGGUAAAAAUAUCAGCAAAUUGAUCUUUAGAACAAACAUAAUUUACACAUAUGUCACCUUUUUGAACAAGAUCACGAAUAAAGUGAUGCUUUAUAUCUAUGUGCUUUGUCCUAGAAUGAUGAAUAGGAUUUUUGGUCAAAUUUAUAGCACUAGUAUUAUCACAGAAUACAGGCAUGCAGUCAUACAACAAUCCAAAAUCAUUCAAAGUGUGCUUCAUCCAUAAAAGUUGAGCACAACAUGCACUAGCGGCAAUAUAUUCCGCUUCGGUUGUAGACAAAGAUAUUGCAUUUUGCUUUUUGCUAAACCAAGAGACUAAACAAUUUCCAAGAAAAUGACAAGUUCCACUAGUACUCUUUCUAUCCACACGACAACCUCCAAAAUCAGCAUCCGAAUAACCGUAUAGUGCAAACUCAUUAGAUCUAGCAUACCAAAGACCAUAGUCUAAUGUACCUUUCAAAUACCUAAAAAUUCUUUUUACAGCAUUCAAAUGUGAUUCUUUUGGACAAGAUUGAAAUCUAGCACACAAGCAAACAGCAAACAUAAUAUCAGGUCUACUUGCGGUUAAAUAGAGUAGGCUUCCGAUCAUACCUCUAUAUUGCUUUUCAUCCACAUGAUUACCUUCUUCAUCUUUGUCAAGCUUUGUAGAAGUGCACAUUGGAGUUCCAACUUGCUUUGAGUCCUCCAUGCCAAACCUUUUCAGCAACUCCUUGGUAUAUUUUGCUUGAUUUAUAAAAAUUCCCUCAAGAGCUUGAUGUAUUUGAAGUCCAAGGAAGAAAUUUAAUUCUCCCAUCAUACUCAUUUCAAAUUCACUUUGCAUAGUGGUGGAAAAAUCCUUGCAUAGAUACUCAUUAGUAGCACCAAAAAUAAUAUCAUCAACAUAUAUUUGCACAAUAAGAAGGUCAUUCAACACUUGCUUAGUAAAAAGUGUGGUGUCCACAACACCCCUUUUGAAACCAUUUUCAAUCAAAAAACCACUUAGUCUUUCAUACCAAGCUCUUGGAGCUUGUUUUAGACCAUAUAAAGCUUUAGAUAGUUUAAACACAUGACUUGGAAAUUUUGUAUUUUCAAAACCGGGGGGUUGAUCCACAUAUACUUCUUGAUCAAUAAAACCAUUUAAAAAGGCACUUUUAACAUCCAUUUGAAACAAUUUGAAGCCUUUAAAGCAUGCAAAAGCAAGAAGCAUUCUAAUAGAUUCUAAUCUUGCUACGGGAGCAAAUGUUUCAUCAAAAUCAAUUCCUUCUUCUUGUGCAUAUCCUUUAGCAACUAAUCUGGCUUUAUUUCUUACAACAACACCUUUAUCAUCUAACUUAUUUCUAAAAAUCCACUUUGUGCCAAUGAUAGGUUGAUUUUGAGGUCUAUCAACAAGUGUCCAAACUUCAUUCCUCUCAAAUUGAUUAAGUUCCUCUUGCAUUGCCAAAAUCCAGUUUUCAUCCUUUAAAGCAUCAUUGACAUUUUUGGGUUCAAAAAGAGACACUAAAGCAAAAUUGUCAAUCAAUUUUCUAGAUGAGGAACGAGUGUUUACCUUCUCGGAUGGAUCACCAAUUAUAAGCUCUUUUGGAUGAUUUUGGCUGAAUUUCCAAGCCUUGGGAAGAUCUUUGAGUGAAUCAUCAUUUUUGUCUUCAUCUUCCUCUUCUUGAUCAUUAUGAACUUCAUUUUCCAUUUCAGUUGCUGCUGGUUUAGAACUUCCUUCAUUUCCAAUUGACAGCUUUUCCAUUCCUGCUCGAACACCUACAUCAUCAUCCUCACACGGACUUUUGGAAUUAUCAUCAUUGGUUUCAUCAAAUGUUAUAUGUAUAGCUUCUUCAAUCACAAGAGUCCUUCUAUUAAAAACUCUAUAUCCUCUUUUAUUCUCACAAUACCCCAAAAAUAUUCCUUCAUCAGAUUUUUUAUCAAACUUACCAAGAUGUUCCUUUAGAUUCAAAAUAAAACAUUUACAACCAAAUACUUUGAAAUAACCAACUGUAGGUUUCUUAUCAAAAAUCAGCUCAUAAGGAGUUUUCUUUAAGAUAGGUCUCAAGAGAAUUCUAUUCAUCACAUAACAUGCAGUGUUUACCGCUUCAGCCCAAAGAUAUUUAGGCAACCUACAUUCAUUUAACAUAGUUCUAGCAGCCUCUUGGAGAGUCCUGUUUUUCCUUUCUACAACACCAUUUUGCUGUGGAGUUCUUGCAAUAGAAAACUCAUGAGUUAUGCCAUUAUGAUCACAAAAUUCUGGAAAACCACAAUACUUGAAUUCUGUUCCAUUAUCACUUCUAAUUCUAACAAUUUUUAAUCCAAGCAGAUUUUGCACUUUAGCAAACAAUGAAGUGAAAUUCUUGAAUGCAUCAUCCUUAUGAGCAAGAAAUAUUACCCAAGUGUAUCUAGAAUAAUCAUCUACAAUCACAAAACAGUAUUUCUUACCACCCAAGCUAGAGAUUUGAGUAGGGCCAAAUAAGUCAAGAUGCAAGAGUUCUAAAGGUUUGGAAGUAGAUACACACUUCUUUGGUUUAAAAGAAACUUUUGUUUGCUUUCCAAAUUGACAUGCAUCACAUAUUUUAUCCUUUUCAAAACUGAUUUUUGGCAAGCCUCUAACUAGCUCCUUUUUCGAAAUUUCCUUUAGUAACUCCAUGUUAAAAUGACAAAGUCUUCUAUGCCACAACCAAGGAUCUUCAUUUGAAGCUUUAAGACAUGUUAAGCUAGAAGAAUCAAUUUUAUCAAGAACCACAAUAUAAAUGUCGUUGAACCUCUUACCUUUGAACACAACAUUGUAUUUGGAAUCAAGCACAAUGCAUUCAUGCUUUCUAAACAACACAUUCAAGUCUUUAUCACACAAUUGACUAACACUAAGCAAAUUAUAACCCAAGUUAUCAACUAAGAGCACAUUAUGAACAAAAGUUUCACCAUCCUUACCAACAUCACCUAUUCCAAUUGUUUUAGCUUUCACAUCAUCACCAAAUGUCACUUUUCCACUUGAUCUUGAUUUCAGCUUUAUGAACAAAGAGGGAUCACCGGUCAUAUGCCUUGAACAACCGCUAUCAAUGAACCAUUUGGACUUGUGUGAGCAUUUUUCCUGAAAAGAGAAAGUGUUUGGUACCCAUUUUAAUUUUUGGGUCCAUAAUAGUUAGCAUUAUAUCUAACUAACCACAUGCAUUUCAUCCCUUUGUUCAGAUUUCUUUUCACAUAGCAAUCACUUUUCAAAUGCCCUCUUUGACAACAAAAACCACACAUAAUGGAAGAGUCCUUAACAUGUACUGGUUUGACAUAUCUUAAUCCACCUUUUCUAUAUGUUGUGAAACCAUGUGCAUUUUUGUUGUGUGCAAAUGUUCUUUGAAAAAUAGUAGGAUGUGUAGGUGACAUGUUCCUUUUGAUAAACUCCUGCUUUCUUGCUUUCAAAGUCUCAUCCAAGUUGUCCAUUCUCCUUUUUAAAUCACCAUGUCUUUCCUUCAACAUUUUACAAAUAUUUGUCUUUCUAUCAAGCUCAUUCUGAACAUCAAAUCCGGCUCUUACAAGACAUUCAUUGUCAGUUUUUAGUUGUUUAUUUUGUUGAAGGAGACAUGCAUUUUCAUGAAUGAGAAAAGCAAUUUUCUGUUUUAGCUGCUUGUUCUUAUCAUAAGAUUCCUUCAAAGCAUUAUGCAGUUUUUCAACAAAUGAUUCAAGAUCAUCAUCUUCUUCAUCAUCACUUUCAGAUUGAGAGUGUAUGGAAGUUACCUCAUUAUCUCCAAUAGCCAUGAAGGCCAUUUGAGCUGAUUCUUCCUCUUCUUCAACUUCCCCUUCAGAGUUGCAUUCAUUCCAAGUAAUCUGGAAGUUGUUGAAUCUUGGCUUUCGAUCAGCUUUUCCAUCUUUCAUUUUCUUCAUGGGGUAUUCGUUUGCAUAGUGUCCAGGCUGUCCACAUUCAUAGCAUUUGUCCACUUGCUUCUUGUUGAAUUCUUGUUUUCCUUUGUUCCUUGCAUUUGAUGAAUAAUUUUGGAAUUGAUUGCUAGGUCCUCCCUUUCUGAACUUCCUUUUAUUCAAGAUUCUUUUGAAGCCUCUUGUGAUGAGAGCAAGAUCAUUAUCAUCACCAUCCGAAUCUUCAUCAUCCAAGUGAGCUGGAUCAUCUUCACUUUGAGUAGUCUUUAGAGCAAUAUUUCUUUUUGCUCUAGCAUCCUCUUCCUCCUGCACUUUAGAUUUCAGUUUUAACUCAUAAGAGGUUAGUGAGUUAAUGAUAGAUUCAAUAGGCACAGAACUUAAAUCCUUAGCCUCCUCUAUUGCAGUCACUUUAUUUUCCCAUUCUUUGCCCAAUGCAUUGAGAAUUUUUCUGUUCUUUUCUCCCAAGGUGUACUCUUUGCCCAACACCUCGAGAUCUUUGAUCAAGUCAGUGAACCUGCAAAACAUUUUGUCAAUAUCCUCAAGAGGUUCAAUCUUAAAAGAUUCAUACUUUGUGACCAAGAUGGCCUUUCUCUGUUCUCUCACAUUGUCACCACCCUCAUGGAUUUCUCUUAACUUAUCCCACAUUUCUUUGGCUGAUUUACAGCCUUUCACUCUAAUUGAUUCAUUUGAAUCUAAGGCACUAUAAAGAACAUUCAUGGCCUUGGCAUUCAAUGUGAGGUUAGUCCUGUCUUGAGCAUUCAUUUCAGCUCUCAUUUUUGGCCGAAGCAGCCCUGUAUCUGCAUCAAGAAAGUUAGCUUCAUGCGGUCCUUCACUCACAAUAAACCACAGUUCAAUAUCAAUAGAUUGCAAAAAAAUAAUCAUCCGUUCUUUCCAGCUAACAUAGUUGGAGCCACUGAACAUGGGAGGCCUAGUAACAGAUUGCCCCUCAACAAACAUAGCAUGACUGGUUGUCAUCUUUACUCCAAGCCGUUAGAGCUUAAUCUCAAGGAGACCAAGCUCUGAUACCAAUUGUAAGUCCCAAAGACAACCAAGAGGGGGGUGAAUUGGGUUAUUCAAAAUCUUAAUCAGAUUUAGGCAAUUUUUGCUAAAUUAAAAUUUCCUUCUUUUCUAGUAAUGAUCAACCAAGUGGAUUAGAAGGCAAGAGCAAUAUUGAUCAGAAACACAAGUAUAAACAAGCAAUGAGAAUUUUAUUAAACAGAAAAGUAAAUUGGGGAAUCAAACCAAGUGUCUACCAAGCUAUCCUCAAACUUGAAGACCACACACUAGGAAGAGCAACUUCUCUUUGAUGGAAGACGAUCAACUAGAUGUACAAUGGAGGGAGCACUUCCUCCUUGCCCUAAGCCUCACUUAGUCAAACUAAGAAGUUUUACAAUCACUCUGAAAACCCUCAACAAAGCUACACUAAAGAUCCUUUCAAUCACAAAAGAAAUGCUCACCAGAAAUUCACACCACUUUAAAACAAAUCUAGCUUUGGAGACUAUUUUCUAGCUAAAAUAUCUCUUGAGAUCUUGUAAACAAAGUGUGCAAAAGUCAGUACUUCGUUCAGACCAGUUUGAUUUUAAAGGGAACCAGAAAUGGGCUUCAUCAAUGCUUCCAACGGAUAGAAGGCAGCUGAAGAGUCAACUAGCCGUUGGGGCUGUCGGACGUCCGACGAUCAAAUCAUCGUCCGAACCAAUCGUCCGAUGGCAUCCAAGUUGACGUUCGGACGUCCGAUGCGUCUUGAUCGUCCGACACCGCAGCGUCCGAUCGUAGGCAGAGAGUUGGCAAGUCAGCUUGGAAUUUUUCGGACGUCCGAUGCGGUUGAUGAGCGUCCGAUGGCAAGCGUCCGAUCCUUCCGGACGUCCGAUGCUUCCUCACGAGCGUCCGACAGAGCUUCCUUCUUGAUGCUCUUUAUCCUUUCGGACGUCCGACAGAUUCCUUUCGGGCGUCCGACGUGAGUAUCCUGUUUUUGCUUCUUCUUUUGGUUGAAAUGCAUUUCAUGACCUAUUCAUACCUGAUUCUUUGAUAUGUAAAGACACUUAUAAUCGAAGAAGGUUAGAUACAUUUCAAAAUACCAAGAAUAGCAAAAUUGUCAUACUUAAAGGACAGUAUCUUUGAUUGGAACAAAACAAUGACUAAAUUCAUUCAUUUUAUUCCAAUCUUGUUUGCCACAUCCAAAGCAACGUAGUCAGGAGAUAAACGAACAUAUGCUUUCUUUGUUCCAUCAGACCUGAUCAAAGUGUUCACUUUCUUGGUUAGUAUAAACAUUUCAAAUUACUUUGUGAUCAUAAAAACCAAGAAUAACAGACCUACUAACGCGGUAUGUGCGAUAAAUUUUUGAAGAUUAGGAGGAGUUUUGUGCAAAGAGAUAUUAUUUUAUAAGGUGUUAUGGGAUAAUUAGAGGUCGAUUAGAUAUUUUAAUGAUUGGAAGACAAUAGGAUUGUGACGGCCCCACCUCCCCCUAGGGCGUACCCCAGGGUUUAGUGGACCGCCUGCCCAACUCUAGCCAGGACUCACUCACUCAUAACUCAAGGAAAAAAAACUAAUAACGUACAUCCAUAGAAAAUAAAUAACACAUCCACUUUAAUUUAAUAUAUACAUUGAUGUUUAAAUCCAGGUACAAAGCUUCUACAUACCAAAGUACUUCAAAAUAUUUACAAUUCAAGUACAAUCAACCCUAGUCGGGUACCAGUAUGAGUACAAAUUCAAAAUUCAAAACAACUAGACUAUACUAGCCUGUACAUGUUUCAUGCCUCGCUCGUACCCCCCUGUAAGGAAAACAAAUGGCGUGGAAUGAGCUAAAAGCCCAGUGAGGUUUCAAAUAACAAAUUGACCAUUUUUUAAAAGUACGAAUAUCAAUGUAGCAAAUUAAUGAGCAUCAAAAGUUCAAAAAAGUGAACAAUAAUACUUCAAGUAGCAAAUCUCAAAGUGAGCAAGUAUAAAAGUUUUCAAAAGAAAUAAUAAUCCAAUAAACAAUAAUCAUUCCAAAGUAUAAGGAUACGGAUGGCUCUCAGGAGCCAAAUUCCCAUUGCAUCACCAGAAUUUGAUCAAGUAAUAGUUGACACUCCAUCAACCUUUAAGUAAGUAACCAAUCCAGUAGAGCACCACUUAAACUACUCUCCGUCCACCAUCCACACCCCCUACUGGGCUCAAAAUCCUCAAUAAACACUGGUGGUAAUACUCGAGUAUACCGAUUAGUCGAGAAGAUAACACUCCAUUCGACAUCACUAACUACCCAUGAUUCGUUAUCUAAUCGACCAAGCCCUUGCCGGCUUGACUCGAUUAACUAGCCAGUGGGGUUUGGGUCCCCAAGAAGUCGAUGAGAUAACAUCUUCAAUCGACGGAACUAAAAUAAAAGUAUAGAGAUAGGAAUGAGAGGCACCUCCCACUCAAAUUGAGUAUGGUACAUACUGCCGCUCCAUACUUACAAAUCAAGUACAAGUAUAUCAAGUUAAUUGCAACAAUAAACAAGUAUAUAUCAUGUUAGGGCAAGUGCGAUAAAGUACACUCUUGUCCGAUCAACAAAUCUCAUAUCAUUUAUUUAUAUUGAUCAAGUAUUGUGAACAAGUGUCCAAUUCAACAAGGUAUUUGGAAGCACUCACCAAAAGAUGCGGUGCCUUUACGAGUUACGUUCGGAUAUUAUUCCGUGGGUGGAGUCCAAAUCUACGAUAAAACAUUGUUUAAGAGCUUUUGAAAGUAACUAAGGUUCGAAACUUAAACAUUUCGUUUAACGAGAAUCACAUAAUUGAAACUUAUUUGUAGAAUAUUUAUAAACUCAUGCUUGGUCUUAAAACUUGGAAAAUUUGAACCAAGUAUACUUUGAAAUACCAUUUGAGUCGAAGAAAUGGAGAAAAUGUAUUUCUAGUAGUCGUUACUUUCAUGUUAUCCAAGGGUACAAGUUUUCGACAAAAUUUUAAGUUAUAUACCCUGACUAAAAAAAAUGUAAACACCAUAGGUGAUCUAUGCCCAACUUAACCUCAAAUCGUCACUCAGGUCGCAGGUAUAUCCACCUAGCCCUCGAGUGUAGAUUUGAGCAGCACGUCCUUUGUAUUUACCUAUUUUCCAACCAUUUAUGGCUUCAUUCUUUUCUUCAAUCAAUCCCCAAAGUUACACACAAAAUCAUCUCAUUUCAAUAGCCAUUCCAUAGGCUCAAAGUCAUAUAAGUACCAAAUCAAACUAGGAACAUGUGCGGAAAUGAAGUUUGCGUCAAAAAACAAAAGACAGAUUUGACGUUGUUUUACGUAACAGACACAACCGAGGCUACGCUUAUCGGAUUGAGGUGAAACUUAUACCAUUUCGAAGCUAAAACAAAAGGUUACAACUUUGAUGAAGACCACUUAGUCCAGUUCGUAGUGUAUCUAGCUCAAAAUCUCAAAUGACAGAACCAGAAUCUCACAUUCAGGCUUGGUAACCGCCUUAUGCGUAAACGACAAUAACUCCGGCUACCGAAGUCCAAUUAGGGCAUUUUUAGGGGUGUUAGAAAGCUAAGACAUAGCACUACAAAUUCUGUGUUUUGGCCAGAUACUAAUUCAGUAAGGAUCAGAGUGAACAGAUGCGGUCAGAUUGGUGAAAUGUCAAAACUGUCCAUUGGACUGAACCUAUGGUAGUCAGGGAUAUUUUUAUCUUUUCACAUGUUCCAAUGCUCUGAUUGAGCUGAAAUUUUACAGACAGCUAUAAACUAUAAUUCUCUACAACUUUCAUGUUUUGUAUUAAGGCUAAUUCGGCCUCUAACAUGAUCAAACAGUGCCGGUCAGAACAGGGAAAGUAGAAAACUGAAAUCUGGAAUUCAUGAAUACAAGUAAUAAUCUUCACAAUUCUAGCUUGGAAACACUACUUCACUUCCUUAUCUAUACUUAUUCACAUCAUAAUCCAUCUAAACAAGAAGAAAUAUGGCUGAACAAUACAAAAUCCUAACUUACUAAUUCUCCCAAAAUCAUCACAACUACUUGCAUAGCUACCAAUUUAACCCAAAACAUGAGUUGUAUAGCAACUUAAGCAAGAGUAAAGGAACCAAAGAUGAUGGACAGCCAAUAUACCUCUCAAAGAUGCUUGUAAGAGUUAUCCACCACCUUUCCUUGUAAACCUUUUGCACACCAAGCUUUCCAAGUGCUCAAAGAAAGAUUUAACCGGUUUAGAAUCUUGUUUUCUCACUCAAAUGGAUCAAGCUCAAGAUGAAAUGGAGUUCUUUCUCUUGCUCUCUCUCUCCCUCAAGCUCAUGGUUUUCAGCUAGAAAAAUGGAGAAGAUUGGAGGUUAAGAAAGGUUAUAAGACUUGGUCUUGGUUUGGGUCAAAGGUGCUUGGAUAGCCUCCACUUGUCACCACCAAAUUCCAUCUCAAUUUUUUUUUCUUUUUCCUUGUGUUUUUUCGUCAAUAAUUUCGGCCAACCUAAGCUGAGGAUGAGGGGGAUAUUUUGCACUAUUAUCAAGGAUAUUUUAUGGUAAGGAAGUGGUAGUCAAGUGGUGUACUCAUUCGAUAACAAACGGUACCCAUCGGUUCAACCCGAUUUUUCUUAAAUCGCGUAUACUAGGGUUUUAUCUUAUAAUUCACUAACUUAUUAUUAUCACUUCUAAUUACACACUUAAUAUCAUCUAAAACUCACUCUUAAUCACUAAAUUUGAUCCCCAUUCUGUACCGGAUAAUCACACUACGGAUAGGCGUAAAAACCCUAAUUCGCGCUAACUUAAAAACCAAAGGGAAAAUCCUUAAUUCUAUAUUCAUUUACACUUAUUGUGGGGUGAUUGGGUAGUAUGGCUAUUAGAAAGUAAUAAUUUCCAAAUAAAAUGGAAGUUUUAAGAAAAAUAUAAGGAAUUUGCAAGUCCUCACAAGGAUGAGGAUUAACCAUGGCAAACCAUUUGCCACAAAAGCCUUGGACCAUUGACUUUGGCUAAGACCUUUCUUAACCUUUUAUUAACCAAAAAUUGACCAAAAAUCCUAUCAUCUUCUCCCCUCUCUUGGCUGACCUUCAUGAGCAAGAAAAGAAAGAAAGAAAACUCCAUUUCCAACACAAAAAACCUUGCUUGAUUCUUGAGUUUUCACCUUAAUCUUGCAAAUCAAUCCAUAAAAGCUGAAUUUGAGGUAGGAGGGCGGCGAACUUUGGUGGAGAGUUUUUGGAGGAAGAAGUUUGUGGCUGCUCGGUCGUCUUUGGGUUUCUAAGUAACAAAGUCUAGAAACCAUCUCUUGUUAUUUAACUUGCUUUUGAGUGGAUUUAAGGGUUAAAUUAUGGUGGUAUUCAUGGAAAAUUUCAUGGUUCAUGUGGUGGAUCAAAAUUUUCAGAUUUGAUGGAGAAUUUCCAGCUUUGAUGAGUUCAUUUCAGUUGUGUUAUGAUUUAUUAGCAUUAGCAUAUGAUUUUUCAACUUUCCAAUGCUUGUUUGGCUUUAUAAUAGAAAUUUUCAACUUGUGAUUAUGAAUUUCAGCAUAGGAUUUAAUUUUUCUAACUUGAGUAGGUGAUGGUUAUAUGCUAGGUAUAUGCUUGAUUUAGUGAGUUGUUGGUCUAGUAUGUAUAUGCUUGAUUUGAGACUGUUUUAUGGUGAGAAUGAAGCCUUGAAAAUGGCUGGAAAUUAGGAAAAAUAAGGGAAAGUGCUGCCAAAAAUUUUUUCGUAGGAGACUCUAAGUAGUCUUGGAAAAUCUAUCAUAUCUUGGUGUAGAAAAAUUCAAAUUGAGUUCUGCUUAUUGAGUUUGAAACUAGAUUCAGAGUACUUUCUAUCGUGAAAAUUUCAAAGUUUUCCUCAAUUCCUGUGAAUAUCUGUGAUUUUUCAAAAUUGACUGAAUUUUCAUUCCUGUUUUGACUUUCUACCAGCCGCUUGAGAUUGGAAUUUGACUGACUUGUGGAUAGAAUCUUUCAAAAGUAUCUUCUGAGAAACCCUUUGAAUCUAUUUUCCAGCAGUAUAAAUUUUAUAAAUUUUGGACUUAAGAAACUUGAGAUAUGAUUUUUCAAAUAGCGUUGCGCGAAACUGGAAAAAUUCUAUUUUCCUAAAACUAUCCUUACUUUCAUUCCCAACUUUAAGUUGGAGUUGUUAAACCAUUUUGAGUUUAGUUUUAUGAUUGGAAUGAGGAAAUUCUUGAUUACUCAUGUCCCUUUGGUCUAAAUGUUCUCUUUACACUCCAAAACCAUAUUUGCAUCAUUGCACUAGUAGUUACUUGAAUUUUCUUUGGUUCACCUAAGUUUUGAAUGGUUGAACUAUAAUACUUUAUCUUGAUUGUUCUUAAGAUUUGUAGGUGAUCAAGGGCAUAAUCCGAGGGGCAAAUUUUUGACGUUAUUUUGCUUAAACUGGUGAGUGUCAAGUGUAUGUUUCUUAAUAUAUCUCGAUUUGACUGAUACCACGUGUUAUGUAUUGAAUUCUGAAUUUGACGAGGCGAGAGUGUACUUUAUCGCACUUGUCCUCCCCUUCUUGAAUGAUCUUGUACUUGCUUGAAUUUGAUUGACAUGUACUUGUGGUUGUGCUUGUGCUCGACUUGUAAGUGUUGAGCGGCAGCAUGUACCACACUCAAUCUGAGUGAGAGGUGCCUCUCAUCCCGUCUCAGUACUUUUAUCCUGAUUAAGUCGAUUGGAAAGUUAUCUCAUCGACCCUAGUGCUGAGCGGCAGCAUAUACCACACUCAGUCUGAGUAGAAGGUGCCACUCAUCCUAUCUCAGUACUUUUAUCCUGAUUAAGUCGAUUGGAGAGUUAUCUCGUUGACCCUUGUAUUGAGCGGCAGCAUGUACCACACUUAAUCUGAGUGAGAGGUGCCUCUCAUCCCGUCUCAGUACCUCUAUCUUGAUUAACUCGAUUGAAGUGUUAUCUCAUCAACCAUACUUGUUCUUAUUUGCAUAUAUAAUCGAGUAUUACCACCACUAUUUCUAUUUGGCAUUCGGGCCCGGUUGGGGAUGAAACGGUGGAUGGGGAUUCGUGUCAAGUGAAUCUACGAACUUGUUAUUCGCGUGGUUGACAGAGUGUCAACAAAAGAAAUGACAUCCAAGAUUGUAAAAUGGCAAGCUUGUGGAUUAGCUCCUGAGAGCUCCUGUAUCCUAUUAAUGAAUAUGUUUUAGUCCUUUUAUGACUUUACAUGAAACCAUUGUUGCUAUUUUGUAUAUAAGUUAGUUGAGUUGAAUUAUGGUACUUGUUCUACUUGCUUGCUUGAUAUCUUGGCCUCACUGAGCGUCCGCUCAUCCCUUUAAAUUGUUAUUCCUUAACAAGAAUUUGAAGUAAAGAAUUGGAGGUGUUAGACUAGCUAACUCUUGUCUAGAGUUAAUGUGAUUCUCUGAGCGACUUUUGGACAUUUGGAAAUGUAUAUUUCAUUUGUAUUUGAAAUAUUAUGGUUGUAAUAGUUAACGUUAUUGCCUAAGAAUUGUGGCUGUUGUUAUUCAAGUACUUUCUUGGCUUUAAGAAAUUGUUUGACUUGAAAAUCGUAGUUUGGUUCGAGUGAAUGCAUGAGUUCUGGCGAAAGUUGGGCAGACAGUCCAUUAAACCCUUGGGUUCGCCCUAAGGGGAGGUGGGGCUGUCACAGUUUCAACUUGUAUUGAUUAAAUAGCUCUGGUUCAGUCUAAUUGGUAGCUAGAAUUGAUUGUGACUAUGUUGCUUGUGGAAAUGCUUUAGUCUAAUUUGUCAAUUAUUAUUUUUGAAUAUAUGUGCUUGUCAUUGGUAUGUUCACAUGCAUAUGUGUGUGUAUGUUCAUAAUGAGUAUUGGAUUAAUACAUAUCUACAUAGACUAGUUGAGGAAAAAAAAAUGGAAGCUGGAAGACAACGACGGGGACGUCCACGUGAACAAACCCAAAAUCAAAGAGAAGAGAAUGGGUCUGUGGCUAACCAAAACACUGAACCAAGGGUUGAGGCAAAUGAUCAAGUGGCAUUGGCUAUAAAUCAUAUGACACACUUGUUAGAACAUUUAGUACUCCCACAGGGCCAAGGGGCUAGACAAGUGAAUCAACAAAGAGACCAAGAUAUCAGAGAGGAUAAAGCAUUGGAGAGAUUUCAAAAGUUUUCUCCCCCUAAGUUUUUUGGGAGUCCUGAUCCCGAAAUAGCUGAAAAUUGAUUAGAAAACAUGAUAAAUAUCUUUGCUGCUCUAAGAUAUACAGACGAAAGGCAAGUGGCAUUCGCCGUAUUUCAGUUUGAGGGAGCAGCACGAUUAUGGUGGAAUGUCGUAAGGACUAAGUGGGAGAGGAAACAAGUACCCUGGACCUAGCUAAAUUUUAUCCAAAAAUUUAAUGACAAAUAUAUUCCCCCUCUUGUUCAAGAAAAAAGAGAAGACGAGUUUAUAAGGCUUCAUCAGGUAUCAAGGAGUGUUGUUAGUAUAAGGCUCAGUUUACAAAAUUAUCCAAAUUUUUUCCAGAGUUGGUUGCUACUGAGCAAAAGAGAAAAAGGAGGUUCAUUCAGGGCUUAAGUCUGGAAAUUCAAGAAUCUUUGUCAGCAGCUCAAGUUCCUACAUUCAGUGAUGCCCUUGAAAAAGGUCAAAGGGUUGAAAGUAUGAAAUCUCAAUUGCGAGCUUUUCAAACACGGAAAAGGGAUGCAUCUGCCAAAGUUGGGAGAAGAUGAACCACCUUCCAAAGUUGGGAGAAGAGCUGGAAAAGUACAACUUUCACUUCCAUCUCCACCCAUGGCGGGGAAACCAGCAGCAACUAUAAUAAAAGGAACUCAAAUUGAAAGGGAACCAUCAAGGGAAAUUCCGUAGGAGAACCAAGGACUGACAUCUCACUUGACUUGUGGAUAUUGUGGGAAGUCUAAUCACACUGAGAAAAAUUGAUGGAAAAAGUGGCGAAAGUGUUUGAUUUGUGGAAGCACAGAUCAUCAAUUUGCAAACUGCCCGAAAAAUCAACGAAGAGAGAGUGCUCCUCAACAAAUGGAUAAAAAUGUCUCUAAACAAGCAAAGGAAGGAGAGAAUCGACCUUGAGCACUAGCUAGAACCUAUGCUAUUUAUGGACAACCGUCUUCCGAGUUGACAAGGGUGAUAAAGGUGAGAAUUUCGAGAACGAAAUUCUUUUAAAGGGGAGAGAGUGUGAGAACCUUGAAUUUUAAGUUUUAUAUUUCCAUUUUUAAUCCAUUUAUAUGUAUUUAAAUUAUUUUAAGCAUUCGAGAUAUGAUUCAUUUUUUGGGCCUUAUUUUCUUUAUUUUAUUUAACUUUGGUAAAAAUGAGUUUAAGAAAAUGAGAGAAUUAAUCUUUCUUAUGUCUAAUAAAUCCUAGGAAAUUUAAUUGUUUUGGUGUGAAGUUAGAACUUAAGUAAACUAUCAUGAUUGGAAGGAAAUUGGAAAAAACUUGCUAGGUAGAAAUUUGGCCAAGUGUCAUCACUCUACAACUCCUUGACUUGAACAAUUAGUUUCUUAAGUAAACUUUACCAUUUAACAAAACAUUAGCCCUUUGUCUUGAGCUCCUGGCUGAACCUCUUGAGAGGAAAAACUUCACAAAAAAUCCUAAGUUUAGUUCUUGGAAAAUUAGAGCAAGAUUCAAGAGGAAGUUCAACUAGAUUCCACCCAACCUUGGCUUGCUACUUGAGAGGUGAUUCUUAGAGUUUUUGGUGCAACUUGCAAAGCUUGAGGAGCUUGAGGUAAACCUUAAAUCAUGAAUUUUAAUGCUUUAAAUUAGUGGGGUAUGCAUGUAAUUAAGGUGUUUAGAUAACCUAGAUACUUGAGUUGUUGAUGGCUUGGCUUGGGUUCUUGUUUUGAAGCUUGGAUCAUGGAUUUAUGUUUAUGCCUUCUAUGUGUUUGAUGUAUGGUUAGGUGUAUUAGGUGAGGAUUGCUUUAGGUUUUCUUCGUUGUGUUAGCAUGAGAAUUAUGGUUAAAGUAAGCUUAAUUAACUUGGUACACAUGAAGUAAAAAUUAAACAAUCACAAGUUGGAAUUUAUGCUUGGGCUGGCCGAAUUUUUAGCUUCAAUUUUGUGAGGAUUUUUUGUGUUGUUUUGGUGAGAUUUGUGCUCAAGGAACUUGGUAUAACCUUACGCUAGAAGUGGAUGUUAUGUAUGUGUGUUUGAAUAGUAGUUUUGUUGGAGUAAAAUUAAGAAAACUAGGUGGAAAUUUUCUGCUUUGGGGUUGCUUGCUAGCCAUCUGUUAUGUUGUUGCAAUUUCCAGUUUUUCUAGCUUACUUUACGAUGUAUCUUGGUGAGUUUUUGCUUGGAAAACUUGGUACUUCAUUAGUCUUGACAUAUGUGUUAAGUUUGACCAAUUUGAAGAAAGUUUAAUUGGUGAAACUAGAAGCCAAAGUGGACUGAAAUUCUAUUUCCAAAUGUAUGCAUGCUGACCAGUUUUCUUGAGUUUAUUUCUCUUCAUUUUUUGGUUUGUUUUCAUGAAAGUUUGUCUCAAUCUUGUGCUAUAAACUUAGUAGAACUCUUGUGGACUGAUUUGUAGCGAAAACCAUGCAUUUAACUUGAAGAGAAUUUGAGUUUUGAUUGGCUUUUGAGUUGAAUUUCCUGAUUUUUGGGUGUGGAACAGGGCUGCUGUUUUGGCCUUGUUUUGCCUUCGAUUUGUGAUAGUUUGGACUUGAAAUUGCUCGUACUAUUUGCCAAUACAUAAUAUUAGAGUUGUGAGUUGAUUUGGUCGUAAACCGAUUACUCAAAGGAGUGAAAAUUAGCUAUCUUUCACUGCCAUAAAACUGGAAAAUUUUCAGUAUUUGUACCCUUUUCAUGUAUUUAUUGUUGCUCUUGGUUUUUGAUCCGAGAAACAUUCUUUUCGCACCAAACCUUGCUUGAAAUAAACCUAAGGUGUAUUGGUGAUUUCCUUGAACUUGCACCUUCGCGUAGGUUUUGAAACUUAUAUCCUUUUGAAAUCUCUUUUGAGUCAUUUGUCGCUUCGAAGUUGAGUCGCUCUAGUAGCUCUCUCGAUCAUUCCUUCCUUUAUUUGGUUGCUCUAGUCGGAAUUUUAAAGUUUCGUACUUGCUUGAAUAUAGGUUUUGAUGUGGAAAACGAGAACCUUGGUGGGACUAUUUGAUUUGCUCUGCUUUGUCGGUGAGUGUUCCAAUGCAUGUUAUUUGAUUAUGUAUGAUUUGAGAAAAUGCUAUAAUUUGCUUAAAGUACUCUCCUUUGAAUGACAUGAUAAUAAGUGAAUGACUGUUGUGAUUUUCUUGUCUUGUUAAUUUUCUAUGAGUGCAUGUUCACAUUGCAUGAAUGCAUGAUAAAUGUGCAAGAAUGUAGGCCAAUGUGUACUUUAUCGCAUCGGCUGAACUGAGCUUAACCCUAUGUUGGCACCCUAUCCGAGACCGCCAUUUGUGAGGUAGGAUCAGCUGGACAACUUUGGAUUUAUAACUUACCAAUGUUAAGUGCAAAGUUCAAAACUCUUUUCCGAAAGGUUUUGAGUACAAUGCUUAAUAUUUAAUAUUAAAUGAGAGAAUUGUUGAUUUUCGGAUGGCAUAAGGUGAAUGUUAAAUAAGGGGAUUGUUGAUCUUUUGGAGGACAUAAGGUGGGAGUUCGGAGGUUAUAAGGUGGUAAAAUGUAGGGGAUUGUUUAUUGGCAAUUAUAAGGUGAAUGUUGCUCCAUGUGAGCCCUGUAUCCUUUUCAUGUUUAAAUUAUUGUAUUGUUCAUCCUUGUAUUUACUUGAACGAAUGAUUGAAUACAUGCAUGAAUAUUAUUGUUCAUCAAGUAUUUUACAUUGAAAGAUUCCUAUUACAAUUAAUUGCUCCACUACCAGUUUCUAAAGUUGAAUAUCGAUUUACUUGAACCUAUAUUACUUGAAAAACGUGCUUACAUGUUAAAUUGUAUUAUUCUCUUAUUUUGCCUAUUUAUUUGGAAUGCUGACUGGGCGUAAGCUCAUCCCACAUUUUGUUUUCCUUAACAGGAUUCGGAUCCGAGAGUGGUCAAGAAUACUACUUUUGAAUGUAUGUAAAUGUUAUUUUGGGGUGCAAUGAAUAUUAUUUUGGUUAGUUUAAAAAUUUCAAAUAAUUCUCGCUAUGAAUUGUAGUGAGUCCUGGAGAGAGUUGGGUAGGCGGUCCGCUGGCCCCUUUGUUUCGCCUUUGGGGAAAGUGGGGCUGUCACAAUUUCUUAAAUACUUCUUCCUACCUGCUGUCAGAGGAUAGAAAAUAGAGCAAUUUGAGAACCUAUAGGCGGACUUGGAGCCAUUUCUAGAAAAAUAGUUUUAAAUGACACUUGUAUUAUAACAUAUUUUCCCAAAUGUCAUAAUAGGGUGUUAACAUGAUAGUUAGUAAGAAGUGUCAUUAAAAAGGUGCCGAAAGUAGAGAAAACUACGUCGUAUCGCCUCAAUUCUAAAAAUUAGCUCUACAAUUUUGCAGAUGAUUAUUUUCACCUAAAUUUCUAAAUUUGCCUCCCUUUUCUUCUCCUCCCUUUUCUUACUUACUGCUUCUCCUCCCUUUUCUUACUUAUCGCAUUUUCUUUCUAUCUCUUCGCCCUUUCCCUUCCUUUCUUGUUUCUCUCAAUCUAGGGUUAAAUUUAGCCAUAUCAAAUUUGUUUUCCUUUUUAUUUCUUGUAUUUAAGAGAUAAUUUUAACUUUAGGUCUACAUAUACAUCUUCAAUUUUGUCCAAAAUAAGCAAAAAGCUAGAUCUCAUCAACAAUUUAGGGUUGUCUUAUACUUAGCUAUUUGGGUAUGUCGUUGAAAUGUCAUUUGAUUGGAUGUGUUAUUUUUGUGAUUCAGUGUCAUGUUUAGUGAAUUUUUUCUUUUUUUUUUAGUAGACAAGAAAAGUUUCGUAAUGUUGUACCAAAGCCUUCUUUAGCAUCAGUUUGGUAGCAUUCAUGACCUACCAUAUGUUUGAUAAAUUGAUUCAAUGAAUUUUUCAAGGCUUUCUAAAUAGGUUUGCUCUCCAAUUUACUCAAUUCGUUUAAACAUGUAUUUUUUGAGGUAUUUAGCUAUUUUUGUCUUAGACUGUUGCUGUUUUUUAGAUAGGCGAAAACCUUUGUAGUGAUUACUUAGAUAUUCAAUUUUUUUUUGAAAUGAAAUAGUAAUGUUAUCUCAAGUUAUGAAGUUUCUCUUUAUGUAUUGGAAUUUGGCCAACUACACAAUUAACACAUGCUUUGGUCUCCAAAAUUCAAAAGGCUCCAUAAUCAAUGCAGGUAUAUCAUGAGUAGUUGGCCUGCUUGCUUCACCUUGUCCAUGUCUUAGAUAUCCAGACGAUUGUUCUUGUUGGACAACAUACCCGACAUAGUUACAGUAAUAAUUUGGGAUAGGAUAUUGAGGUACAUUUUCUUUUAUCAAGUACAGCAUGUAGCAAUUAAGCAUACUUAUUGUUGAACUUAGCUUUCAUUCACUUUCUCUAUUUUUCUAUGGCAACCUGCCCAAGUAUAUGGGCAUUGACUUAUAAGGGGUAUUGACUGUUCAUUUGCUUUCUUUGUGGCAUUUUCUAAUAUGACAACCCUCUGAAGUUGAUGAACGUACAAAGCUGGUUCAAAUGUUAAGUUUUUUUAUCUAGCUUGUGGCCUUUCACCUAGCCCAAGGCUAUUUAUCAAAUUUGAGAGUUAUAUUAUAGAAGAACUGCCUCAUGUAUGCAUAUUAAAAGUUUUUUUCCUGCAUAAAACAUGUUUCUUUUAUGUCCUGUCAACCUGACAAAUAUGACUUACUAAACUUAAGUAAACAAAGAUGGAUACCCUAUUGAUCCAUAUACCAUUAUGUAGUUGGCAUUUGUUAUAGAAUGGUUUCAAGCCACAUUAAGUUAAUUGCAGUUGGCUGAGCUGAUAGGCUCAAGUAUAGCUACUUAGUAAGACAGCAUAAGUUAUUUUUGUUAUUGCUUUUGUCUAGCCUAUCUCAAUCAGUUUUAAAGGCUGUAUAAAACUAUGCUAGUUGGGCUAUUGUAGUGCUUUUUUUCUGUUGGUUUCCUCUUUUUCCUUUUCACUUGGGUGACCAAUUGGACUUGCGAAAAGAUUUAUGUUUCUUGCAUAUUUUCCUUGACUUUAUGGGCUGCAAUAUUUUUCAUUAUUGUUGUAUGUUCUUGAUUCUUUCUCAUUUAAUCAAAUUGAUUUGAAUUAAAAUUUUGACAAGCUUAGACAGUAAAAUGCUUUGAAAACGCAUUUUUUUGAGUUGGUAACAUGUUUUAAAAAGUUGCCUUUAGGUAGCAUUACUAUUGUUGUGACAGCCCCAUCUCCCCCUAAGGCGAACCAGAGGGUUCGGCGGGCCGCCUGCCCAACUCUCGCCGGGACUCAGUCGCUCACUACAGUCCUCAAACAAUUAUAAGAUAAAUCUCAAUAUAACUCAAAUGAAUUACAAGAUAAAUCUCAAAUAUUACAUCAAAUUCUCCACUAAUUACAUAUCCAAAAGCGAAGCGUCCCUGCUUCCACUGCGCCACUCUGAUCCAUGAUCCAACUAUUAUACAAGAGGAAGUCCAAAUUCAAAGUACACAUGAGAUAAUUCAUCCGAUCACAGGAAUAAGUACUACAAGCCUUCCUUCGCCACGAGCCCUGUGGAGGGGAAUAAAAUAUUUUUAGGGUGAGCUAGAAGCUCAGUGAGUAACCAGUAAAAUCAAUAAUCAAAUCGGUUUAACAAUAGUUCAUUUCAAUGAUGUCAUAAUUCAAAUGAUAAGUCCAGAAACAAUUACAACAUUUACAAAACGUUAAAUAUGGAGUAUCAAUAAUUCAAGAAACAUUUACAAUGGAAAGCGAUAGUAACAUUCAUGAAAAGGAUACGGGCCCACAUGGAGCCAAAUAUUCGCGCGCUCGCUCGUUCUCCUGCCAUUUCCCCUUAUUCCUCCAAUUAUUUGAAAAUUUCCUUUUGACAAAUAAAACCCUCGUGCCUUUGUUCGUUUAUUCAUCCCCUUCCGGACGUUGGCCGGACUCCACCCAUCCGGACGUUGGCCGGACUCCACCCAUCCGGACGUAGCCGGACUACAAGGUAAUACUCGAGUAUACCAAAUUCACCCAGGGUCACCAUAUCGCCCGAUCGAGUCCGCUUCUGGCUCGAGUCGAUCGGUAACGAAGGGCAGUGGCCAGUUCAGCCGAAAGGCUUACAUUCAUGCGCAACUAGCAUUUAAUCAUUAAUCAUGGAAAAUUCCACAUUUAUUUAGGUCGAGUGCGAUAAAGUACACACUCGCCUAGAAAACUUGUUUUAACAAUCAUUGAAAGCACUUAAUACAUUAUCAAUCAAUAAUAACAAGCCAAUAAGUCAAGGAAUAUAGCAAACAAGGAACGCUCGCAUACAAGCACGCAUGAUAUGCAAGAAAACAGUUCAAAAGUAAAUAAUGCAAGAAAACAGUUCAAAAGUAACUUUGGAAACAGUUCAAAAGUAAAUAAUGCAGGAAACGGUUCAUAAAUAACUUUAGAAAUAGUUUGAGGUCACUCACCUCCAUGGCUCAGAAAUCAUCCAUCAUAUAACAUUGCAUUGCUCAAAUCCAAGCCUUAGAUCACAAACCCAACGCAAACAAGUUCCUUCAAAGUUCGGACAGCACUUCCCCUGAAUUUGCUAACUUUUCCAGCCAUCAUGGCUUCAUUAUUUCCUCAUUCCAACCCAAAGGUACACACACAACAACAAGUUCAUCCAAUAGGCAUUCAGCAAGCUCCAAGUAGUACUAGUACAAGUCAAGCUAUGGAAAAGUCCGGAAAUGAAAGUUAAGCUCAAAACCAGAAAAACAGUUUUGGACGUCAUUUUGCGGUAAUGGUACCAAAGGCGAUACGAUUGUCGGAUAAAGGUGAAAGACCCACCGUUUCGAAGUUAAGAGAUAGGGCUACAAUAUUGUAGAAGGUCACUCAACCCAGUUUCGAGUGUAACCAGGUCAAAAAUGCAAGAUACUAUACCAGAAUCAUAAAAACAGGUUCACAAAUCGCAUUCUGGUGCAAACAUCAUAAAUCAGCCUACCUAACACCAAAUCCAGAAAUUCCAAAACCAGCUGAAAACUAAGAAACAAGGUUACAUUUCAUCAGAAGGCCUCAACAACCAAUUCGGAAACAUUCUCAACCAAAAUAACCCAUUACAGACGCACUUCUCAAUUUCGGGUAAAACCAGAACAGCAAUAGUAAUUUCAACUUUUCUCAUUCUACACUACUCCGAUUGACCUAAAAUUUUGCUGGCACCUCUAAAAUAUCAUUCCAUACAACUUUCAUGUUUUAACCCAAGGCCAAUUAGGCCUCUAUCUAGGAGCUAUAAAUUCGGGCAGAAUGCACAAUCAUAAACCCUAACUUUCCAAAAUUUCUUCCAAAACAGAAAUUGCUUGCAAUUUACCACUUUUUCCACCUCAUAAAGUUCUUAAAUAUCAUUUCCAAUCAUCAUACAUGACCACAUAAUCAUAUCCAUAUGAAAACAGAAAAAUCCCCAAUAAUUAUAAAACUUCACCAAUUCAACCAAAAUCAAGAUAUAAUCCAUAAACUUGCAUCUCAUACUACCACUAAUCAUGAUUUAAACAUCAUUAGAGGAAGGAGAGUGGUUCUUCUCAACUCACCUUAGAAACAAGAGAGAGAGCAACUAGUCACCUUAGCUUUCCAAACAACUCCACAACCAAGUUCAACUCCACCAAACUAAGAGGUUUUAUGGAGUAAUUGGAAGAUUAAUCGGUUUAAUUGAAAGAUUGGGCAAGAUUGGAGACUAGAAAAUUGAGAGCUUUUCUUUCCUUCUUUGAGCAAGAGAAUUCGGCCAAGAAGCUUGCAAAAUGAAGAGAUUUUUGGCCAAUUUUAAUUAAAUGGUAAAGUUAUGAAUAGUAGUCAAACUCAAGACUAAAUCUUAUGGUGACACUUGUCACCUUUAGGUUUAAAACUUAUCUUUUUGUCUCUCCAAUACAAAUAUCUUAACAACUUGUAAAAUAAUAUCACUUAAUACAAAAUUCCAACAAGUUGUCAAAAAUAUAAUGCAUUUACCGCACUAGCGGGUCCCACGUCCAAAAUACGCUCUUAAUUUCUCAAAAACUAAUCGAUACUAGAAAAAUCAUUUUAAAACUAUCUUUGCUCAUAAACUUUAUCUGGGGAAUUUUUCUAAUAAAGAAAAUGUAGAAAAGGCGGGCGAUUAAAUAAAAUAAACCCUAAAAAAUUAGAAAAUUUCCGGGUUCUCACACUUAUACUUUUCGGGGCGUCACAAUUGUAAUAUUCCGUGAGGGAAUUGUGUCUUCUAUUGAUCUCCUUGAAAUUUGUUUUCUUAUUUGAAUAAAUGUUUCAUGCAAAAAUUAGUAAUAAUUUAGUUAAAAUUAAAUUACAUGCUAACGAAGUUUUAUUUUUUUAAUUAGAAUUUGUUUGAAUGUAGAGAAAAGAUGGAUGAAUAUGUCACGAUCAAGUGAUGAGUACAAAGUUGGUUUAGAAGAUUUUCUUGAUUUUGUAUUUAUGAAUGGGAGUAUAAGGGAGAUGAUUUUAUGCCCAUGCAUUAGGUGUGGAAAUGAGGUAUUUGUUAUGAGAGAGCAGGCUAAAUCACACUUGAUGUGGAAAAGGUUUAGUAAAGGAUAUACUCAAUGGAAAGCUCAUGGAGAGCUAUCUUCGAAUGUUCAUCAUAAAUCUUCACAUGGCUCUUCAAAUGAAAUUCCUCCACUCAAUCCCAUGGAUGAUAUGCAGGAGCUGCUAUAAGAUGCAUUAAGAGUUAUAAAUCAGGAUCUAGAUAUGGGAGAAAGAUUAGAAACAUAACGGCCGAAUAUUGAUGUUGAAAAAUUCUACAAAUUAAUAAAUAAUUUGAAAUAGCCCUUUUAUCCAGAUUGCCCACAAUUCUCUAAACUUUCGUUUUUGGUACACUUGUUGCAUAUUAAAUGUCUCAGCAAAAUGCUUGAUUCUAUAUUUAAUAUACUUCUUGAUUUGUUGAAACAAGUACUCCUAAAGGAUGUAAAUCUAUCCAACUUUUAUUAUGAAAAAAAAAGAUAAUGAAAGAACUAGAACCUGGAUACAAAAAAUAUGAUGUAUGUCCUGAUGAUUUCAUAUUGUAUUGGGAAAAAGAUGAAUCAAAGAUCAAAUGUGCCACUUGUGCACAUCUAAGGUGAGUGCCAUCAGAGGAUGAUCCUAUUGGUCAAAAAAGGAAAGUUUCCCACAAGGUUUUAUGGCACUUUCCACUUAAACCCAAAUUGCAGCGUCUAUUCAUGUCAUCUAAAACUGCAUCUUUCAUGAAAUGGCAUGUCAAGGGCCGUACUAAGGAUGGUCACAUGAGACAUCCUGCAAUACUCCAGUUUGGCAAUCAUUUGAUUACCAAAAUCCCGAGUUUGCAAAAAAACCUCAUAAUGUCAAAUUGGAUCUAGCUUCUGAUGGAUUUAAUCCAUUUAAAAAUAUGAAUGUGAACCAUAGUACAUGGCUGGUAGUAGUGAUGCCUUAUAAUUUGCCACCGUGGAUGUACAUCAAACAUCCAUACUUUAUGUUGUCAUUACUCAUUCCUGACCCAUAUGCACCCGAAAAACAACAUUGAUGUUUACCUUCAACCUCUUAUAGCUGAGUUGAAGGAACUGUGAGACGUAGGUGUGACCAUUUAUGAUGCAUCAUCAAACAAAAUUAUCAUAUGUGUGCUGCUUUAUUAUGGACCAUUAGUGACUUUUCUGAUUAUGCUUUUUCAUCUGAUUGGAGUACUGAAAGUUAUUUAGCAUGUCCAAUGUGUCAUAAGCAUACCAUUUCACACCUUUUAAAGCAUUGUUCAAAACGAUGUUACAUGGGUCAUUGGUGAUUUUUUGAAAAUGAUCAUCCAUAUCAAAAAGAUAAGAGUCACUUUGAUGGAAAGGAAGAACAUGGAGUUCCACCACCCCACUUGACGGGAGAUGUAGUCUUGGAGGAGUUGAGAUCAUAUGAAAUCAAAUUUGGAAAAUUAGUCAAUGAUAACUCUGAAUUACCUUUUAAUUGGAAGAAACAAAGCAUUUUUUUUAUUUGCCAUAUUGGAAAAACAAAUUUUUACAACAUUAUCUUGAUGUCAUGCACAUUGAAAAAAACAUAUGUGAAACUAUAGUGAGAACAUUGUUGUAUGUGAAUGGAAAGUGUAAUAAUCUUGGUGUCCAACAUGAUUUGCAAGAAAUGGGCAUACGAGCAGGUCUUCAUCCUAUUACAAGUGACUCUGGGCGAGCACACUUGCCUCCAACAUGUUUCCAUUUGGAUAAAAAAGAGAAACAGUUAUUCUAUAAAAUUCUGAAAAAAGAUUAAAUUGCCGGAUGGUUAUUCAGCCACAAUUUCAAAGUCUGUGCAUUUGAAACCUCCCAAACUAUCCAAACUUAAGAGUCAUAACAAUCACAUAUUAUUGCAGCAACUAUUACCAUUAUGUUAUAGAAAACUUCUUCCAAAAUCGGUGCUAUCUCCUCUGAUAAAGUUGUCCAAAUACUUUAGAGACUUAUGCUCUAAAGCUCUUUGUCCUCGAGAACCGCUUUGCAUGGAAAAAAAUGUUGUUGUGUUAUGCCAGUUGGAGUGCAUAUGUUCACCAUCUUUUUUUUUUGUUAUAAUGGUACAUUAGACUAUUCAUUUAGCAAUUGAAACAUAGUUGAUCCAAUACAUUAUCGUUGGAUGUAUCCGAUUGAAAGGUAACUUCAUAAGUUUAAAAUUUUAAUUUUUUUAACAUAAUGUGAGUAGACUUAUCGAUCACAUACUAUUUUUGUAAUUGUUUCAAAUGCUUAUGCAAUUUGAAGAAUUAUGUUUCAAAUAGAAGUUGGCUUGAAGGUUCAAUUGUUGAAGGGUGCCUAGUCGAUGAGUACUUGACAUUUUGCUCUCUCUACUUGUUUGAUGAAGUGAUAACUAAGUUUAAUCGACCAAGAAGAAAUGAAGAUGGAGGUCAAAGUUCAGCUGAAGGACUUGAAAUUUUCUAUAUGGAAAGUUGCCCAUUAGGAAAAGGACAUUCGAUUAUAAUGGAUGACAAAACUAUAAAAAAGGCACAUCAAUAUGUGUUAUUCAAUUGUGAAGCUAUGGAACCAUAUAUCAAAUAAGUAAUUGUACUCUAUGCUUGUAUUAUAACAUUAGUCAUCUUUUAUAAAUGGAUAAUGUCUAGAGACAACUAUCUUGGUUGAUUUUUAUAAUUGAUUAAGCUAACAUCGUAAAUUGAUUGAAGAGGAGCAUUCACGUAGUUCAAGACAUGAAAGGAAGUAGAUUCAUAGUCAGAUAUUUGCAAGCUGGUUUGAUUAUUAUGUGAGUUAAUAUACAUAAAAAUUGUACGUUUACACAUAAAAACUUGCAUUAUUAUUUUAUUAAUUUAACUUUUUGGUCUUCAUAGGUGGAUGUUUUCUACUUAAGAAUGAAUCUAUCUCAAAAAGAUUUAAAAAUAUUGGCUAAGGGUCCAAAUAUUGUGAGGUUGAAGUAUGAGAGAUAUAUUGUCAAUGAUUUUAGAUUCCAUACAAAACAUUUGGAGAGCAAAAGAAAAUAUCAUAAUAGUGGGGUGAUUGUUAGUAUAACAACGUCAAGUUUUGUAAGCACCAAAUAUGAACUCGAUUUUGAAUGACUUGGCCUAUUAUGGUGUCUUAAAUGAUAUUUUGGAAUUGGAUUAUAGUGGAGGUCGAAGACUGGUUUUGUUUGAUUGCUAUUGGGUCUCUAAGGGAAAUAGGUUGAAACAAGAUGAUAAUGAAUUUACACUUGUGAAUUUUAUGAAUGUGAAGCACUACCAUGAACCCUUCAUUCUUGCAUCCCAAGUGAAGCAAGUAUUUUACAUGGAACAUCUUUUGGAUAAGAGGUGGAAUGUUUUUAUCCCAACUAUACCAAGAGAUGAUCUGAAGAUGAAUCCUAUAGAUGCUAAUAAUUACUUGCAAAGUCAGCCUUCAAGUAGUCAUCAAAAUGUAAUAUUUGAUGAUAUUAAUUGGGUACGAGAGGAUAUCAUAGGAGGAAAAUUUGCUACUACUGGAGUGGCAUCAAAUUCCAAGGGAUGAUCUUUUAUUAUUUUAUAUAAAUAUAAUAUUGUCAUCUUUUGACUGUUCUUUAGUAUAUAUUAAAUUUAGGUACUUAAAUUUUUUGUGACAAAUUUUUUAUUUCAUGGUAAUAUGUUGUUGGAUAAAAUUUGUUGAUUAUGUCUAUGUAUUUACAAUUUGAAAUUGGAGUUGUGCAGCAAUGGCAAGAACGAGAGGAGGAAAAAAUUAUAGAGGAGAAAGAAGUUUUUGAUUGCGUGAUACACGUCUUGAAAAUGAAAUCAACUUGGAAAAUGAGGAAGGCACUAGUAUGACCUACAUUAUUAAGUCCUUUUAAUUUUAUUACAAAAUAUAUAUAAUAUUGGUUUCUUCUUCAUAAGAUACAUCCAAAUUGUCUAUUAUACUUACAGGUGGCGGUUCUAAUGAUGAUGUGCCUAAGAAAACUUGAGAACCAACAUUUAUGAGACACAUUUGGAGUAGACAUGGUACUGACAAGCAAAUUAAAGUGAGGUUCAACUGGUUUGGUGAGCCAGUAGGUACAAAUAGAAGCAAGUUCAAUGAAUUUUUGGGAGCAUUGGCCAGAAUUGAAAAAUAUGCACCAAUUAAUAUUGAUAGUUGGUGUAAGGUUCCCAAAUCUUUAAAAGAUGACAUGAUAAAUGUAGUAAAGGUAUGUAUUUCUUUUACGUACUAUACUAGUUGAAUGAUUUUGCUCUUUUAAUUAAGAAUUUGACAUUGUAGGAUGUAGGAAUCUUGAAUGAGUAAUCUUAGGAGAUAUUUUAGGUAAAUUAGUGGAAGAAAUCAGGGUGAAUAAGCUGUCUCUAAAAUUAAGGGAAUUAGGUGUAAACUUUCCUUGUUUAGUGUACUAGAAAAUUGUAUAUAUAGAUUAGAAUGAAUUGUAGGAAAUAUACAGAAUUAAUAAAAUCUCUUUGAUUCUUUUACAACAUGGUAUCAGAGCCCGUCUAGGGUUCUGGGAACAAUACCACCUUUGCUUCUUGUCAAUUCCAGUCUUAAUUGCUGGUUCCUUUCUUAUUCUCUCCAGCCUUCAUUACUGUUCCUUUUACUAUACAUUUUUUCCUUCCCACCAAUUACUUGAUCCUAUUCAAUCAUGGCGGAUGCUAUAUCCUCAAUGCGGCAAUUGUCUUCAACUCUGGAAGAAGAACAAAUUACACAGAGCAUAAUAGAGCUUCAAAACAUCCAGGUAGCAUAUAGACUAAAUGAAAAAAAAAUAUUUGAAGUGGUCUCAAUUGGUUUGAACAUUCUUGAAAGGAAAAGGAAAUUUGGGUCAUCUAUUGGAAAUAGCACCGGAUAGUGAAACGGCGGGGUUUGAAGCAUGGGAAAAAGAGGAUUCAAUGAUCAUGUCUUGGUUAUGAAAAUCCAUGAUUCUUAAAAUCAGCGGUAUGUGUAUGUUUCUUCCUACAACAAAAGCAAUUUGGGAUGCCCUUCAUCAGACAUAUUCCAAGGUUAAUGAUGCAGCUCUUAUCUAUGACAUCAAGACAAAGACAACUGGAGCAAAACAAGGGACAAAAAUAGUGACGGAGUAUGCCAAUUUUCUGCAAAACCAGUGGCAGGAACUGGAUUAUUACAGGACAUUUGAUUUGAACUGUAGCAAAUGUGCAGUGUUUAUCAAAAAGUUCAUAGAAAGGGACCGAGUUUAUGAUUUUUUGCCUGGCCUAAACUCUGAAUUCAAUCUUGUACGAAUUCAAAUUCUGGGCAGGCCAGAAUUUCCCUCUCUAACCCAAGCAAAAUCCCAGGUACGUGCAGAAGAAAGUCGCAGGGGUAUUAUGUUAGAGUUACCUUCAAUAGAAAAUUCAGCUCUUUUAAGUUCCAAACCUCAGUGGUUGGUACUGAACAAGGUUGCUGCGGACAAGACCAAUCAAACAAGUGGGCAAAAGAAUCGCGAGGAGUUGUGGUGCACAUACUGCAAGAAACCACAACACACCAUAGAACAAUGCUGGAAACUACAUGGGAAACCACCCACUCGUGAAUGGGGAUAGAAAGGUGGCCAGUAAAGGCAGGCUCAUGUGUCGGUUCAACAUCCAACUCAAGUGUUUGGAGGGUUUAGUAUGGAGGAAAGCUUAAAAGUAUGUUAGAGACAAUUGACAAACCAGCAACUAACAAUUCUCAACCAAGGAAUUGGGGUAUGUGUUCAUUGACAUUUUCAGGUAAGGCUCUAGUCUCUUUUGCAUCUAGUGUUUUAGGCAAUGAGCUUAGGAAUGUCUGGAUUCUGGAGUCUGGUGCUACGGACCAUAUGACUCAUAUUUCAAAUAAAUUCAAAACUUAUAACCCUUGUCCUAGCAAUGGAAAGAUUGUUGUUGCGGAUGGCACUACAACCACAGUGGCAGGAAUUGGAGAUGUCCAAGUUACUCCAAAAUUGAUUCCUAAAAAUGUUCUUCAUGUUCCUCAAUUAUCUACAAAUUUGGUUUCUGUAAAAAACCUUGCCAAAGAUCUAGCUGGCUCUUUUAUAUUUGAUGAAUCCUGGUGUGACUUCCAGGACUGAGGCUCGGGGAAGAGGAUUGGACUAGCUAAGAAGCAUGAUGGACUCUAUUACUUGGAUACAUCAAGUCAACCAGAAUUUAGUAAAUCUGCCCUGUCCACAUUGUCUUCACCCUCCAAUAAGGAUGUCAUCUAGUUACAUCAUAGACGUCUAGGUCAUGUGUCUUUUUUUUGCACUAAAAAUAAUGUUUCCCUCCUUGUUCAAGGGAUUUGAUGUUCAGUCUUUUCAUUGUGAUAUUUGUGAGUAUGCUAAACACACUCGUGUAUCAUUUCCUAUCAGUAAUAAAUGAUGGUCUUCUCCUUUCUUUUUAAUCCAUAGUGACAUUUGGGGGCCAUCAACUAUUCCAACCAUCUCAGGGUCUAAGUGGUUUGUCACAUUUAUCGAUGAUUGAACAAGAGUCUCUUGGAUCUAUUUACUCAAAAAUAAUCUGAUUUGAGUCAUGCAAUGAUUCAAAAUCAAUUUGGCACCAAGGUAAAACACUUUCGUUCAGAUAAUGCUCGUGAUUAUUUCAAUCAAACCUUGAGUCCGUUUUUCCAAAAAGAAGGAAUCAUACAUGAAUCAUCCUGUAUCACCACUCCACAACAAAAUGGAGUGGCAGAACGGAAAAACCGACAUCUUCUUGAGUGCACUAGAGCCUUACUGUUUGAACAAAAUAUGCCAAAAGCAUAUUGGGCAGAAGUUGUACUCACAUCAACUUAUGUCAUAAAUAGGAUUCCUUCCAGGGUCUUGGGAUUUCAAAGUCCACUAGAGAACCUAUCCAAAUUCUACCCCGAUAUUCGAUCCUCCUUUAAUCUCACUUCUCGGGUUUUUGGAUGUAGUUCUUUUGUUUAUGUCCAUAGUCAUAACCGUGGGAAGUUAGAUCCUCGUGCUGUUAAGUAUGUCUUCGUGGGGUACUCAUCUACUCAAAAGGGUUACAAAUAUUAUCAUCCACCUACUAGAAAACUCUAUGUCUCGGCAGAUGUUAUAUUUGUUGAAAAUAAGCCCUAUUUCAUCACUCCUUAUCUUCAGGGGGAGUUAGAUACACUUGAAGAUAAGAAGUUAAAAUUUCCUCCUUUAGACCUGUCCAAAUCUCAAUUUCGAGAGUCAAUUCCUCAAUCUGAUGUGAUAGAAGGAAAAAAGAAAGAAGAUUGUACAAUCUAUGACUGGUUCCGAUUUGACCAAGUGUAUACAAGGAAAGGAGAUCCCAUCGUAGUUACAAGGCAAGAACAAUCCUCUGAACCAAGCUUCGAGAAUGAGGUAACAAUGAGUGAAUCAAAUCUGAAUUCUACACCACCGACCGACCAUUCUUCCAGCUCUAAAUCACCUUGUCGCUUAGCCUUGACUAGGACCUGCAUCUACCUAUUGCUGUAAGGAAAAAAACCCGAGAAUGUACCAAAAGACCCUUAUACCCAUUGUCUCACUUUGUGUCUUUUGAGAAGUUUUUCCCAAGCCAUCAAAGCUUCCUUUCCACCUUAAACACAGUCUCUAUUCCUAACUCAUUGUCUGAAGCAUUAUCAAAGAAAGAAUGGAGACUUGCUAUGGAAGUAAAAAUAGAUGCAUUAGAGAUGAAUAGGACCUGGGAAUUAGUUGAGUUACCAAAGAACAAGAAAGUAGUGAGCUGUAAGUGGGUGUAUGCAGUAAAGUUUAAGACAGAUGGGUCCCUAAAACGGUACAAGGCGAGGUUAGUCGCAAAAGGGUACACACAGACAUAUGAAGUAGAUUAUCGGGAAACGUUUGCUCCGGUAGCAAAGAUGAAUAUGGUAAGAAUUCUGUUGUCCUUGGCUGUUAAUUUUGAUUGGGAAUUGCAACAGUACGAUGUGAAGAAUGCUUUUCUUCAUGGAGAAUUAGAAGAGGAAAUUUAUAUGAGCAUUUCACCAGGAUUCAGUGGGGUUGACAAGAAUAAGGUUUGUCGAUUAAAAAAGGCAUUAUAUGGGUUGAAACAAUCCCCACGUGCUUGGUUUGGACGAUUUGCCAAAGUAAUGAUAGCUAAUGGUUACAAGCAAAGUCAAGGAGAUCAUACCCUAUUCAUCAAGCAUUCAGCCUUCGGGGGAGUUACUGUUUUGAUUGUAUACGUGGAUGACAUUAUAGUGAUAGGAAACGAUGAAAUAGAGAAGGAAACUUUGUAGUGGUGCCUAGCCAAGGAAUUUGAAAUAAAGGAUUUAGGAGAAUUGAAGUAUUUUCUGGGAAUUGAAGUGGCUCGAUCAAGGCAGGGAAUUUUUAUUUCUCAACAGAAAUGUGUUAUGGACCUGUUCAAGGAACAGGCAUGACAGCGAGCAAACCAGUUGGAACUCCCAUUGAAUAGAAUCACAAAUUAAGUGAGGCUUAUGGAGAUAAAGCAGUGGACAGAGAGAUGUACCAAAGACUUGUUGGGAAACUCAUUUAUCUCGCACAUACUAGGCCAAAUAUAGCGUACUCAGUUAGUGUUAUUAGUCAGUUUAUGCAUGAUCCUAGAGGAGUUCAUCUACAAGCAGUUUAUCGAGUGCUUCAUUACUUAAAGGCACAUCCAGGGAAGGGAAUUUUAUUCAAAAAGGGUCCUGAGAUUGAUCUGGCAGUUUACACAGAUGCAGACUUUGUAGGGUCUCCAGUCCACAGGCGAUCAACUUCGGGAUAUUGUACAUUUCUUGGAGGAAACUUAAUAUCCUGAAGAAGCAAGAAACAAAGUGUGGUAGCAAGGUCAAGCGCUGAAGCAGAGUUCAGAGCUAUGGCAGCAAAGGUAUGUGAAUUAUUGUGGGCUAAAUUAUCCUAGAAGACUUGAGGAUUCAAUGGAGCAAACCGAUGAAGCUAUACUGUGAUAACAAAUCUGCUAUAAGCAUAGCUCACAACCCAGUGCAACAUGAUCGGACGAAGCACAUAGAGAUAGACAGGCACUUUAUUAAAGAGAAGCUAGGCAGUGGAUUGAUUUGUACUCCGUAUGUUCCGACAGGACUUCAACUUGCAGAUGUGAUGACAAAGGGACUGUGCAGUAACAUGUUUCAUGAGAGUGCUAUCAAGCUGAGAAUGGAAGAUCUAUAUUCACCAGCUUGAGGGGGAGUGUAGGAAUCUUGAAUGAGUAAUCUUAGGAGAUAUUUUAGAUAAAUUGAAUGAGUAAUCUUAGGAGAUAUUUUUGGUAAAUUAGUGGAGGAAAUCAGGGUGAAUAAGCUGUCUAUAAAAUUAAGGGAAUUAGGUGUAGACUUUCCUUGUUUAGUGUACUAGAAAAUUGUAUAUAUAGAUUAGAAUGAAUUGAAGGAAAUAUAUAGAAUUAAUAAAAUUUCUUUGAUUCUUUUACAACACAAGAGAAAUUUGAUCUUCCUUCCGAUCUAGAAGAAUGAGUUAAGCAAUCAUUAGAAAAGAAAUGGAAAAGUUGGAAGCAUGCUCUAAAAAAAGAUUAUUUCAAUUCUAAUGAGCCAAUUGAAAAUUAGGUGCUGAAAAGACCAAAACAAGUUCUUCCAAAGCAAUAAAAAAAUAUCUUGACUAAAUGGCAUUCUAAAGAGUCAAAGGUAUGAAAAAUUGUUAUAGUUGUGAUCAAUUUUUCUAUUUGUCUAUGGUUAACUAUUUUGUAUUAUGCUAAACUAUGUAGAAAAUAUAUGCAACAAACAAAGAGCAUCGAGGGAAGAAAAAGAUGAACCAUAGUACGGAGAAAAAGCCAUUUGCUCAAGUUCGAGUAGAUAAUGUAUAAUAUCAUAAAUUGGUAACCACAUCUAAUCUUUUAAAUUGAUAUCAUCUUUUGAUAUACUAUUGUAUGUAGAAAAAAGAGUUUGGGCAUUCUCUCUCUAGAGCAGAUAUGUUCACUAUAUGCUAUACUAAUUCUAAUGGAGUGCCAUCUAGUUAUGAAGUUGGGGAAAAAUAGUAUGCUACUGCUACUUAUUCCCUCUAUUCAAAAACCUGUUUUUUCUAUUACAAUAAGAAACAACAUAUAGUAACUCUGAAUUGUUAAUUUUAGGAGGAGAUGGAAAACUUAAAAAAUCAACUUCCAGAAGAAGAAGAAGAUAUUGUGGGUAGGCAUGACGUGUUUGCACAAGUAAUGGGUAAAAAAAGUAGUGGAAGAGUUCAUACAUAUGGUUUAGGAGUUACACAAUCUAAUUUGUGGGGAUAUACCAAGUCAUUCAACAUGUUUUCGGUUGGUCAUGGAACAAAGUGCUACAUUGUCAAAAACAAAGCGAAGAAUUCAGCAGCUAGAAUCAAUACACCAAGGAAGAUCACAAGGACAAAGUUCACCAUCUCAAUAAAGAUCUACUUCGCAAUCAUCAAAUGCUAUUUUUUGGCCGAUAAAGGUAAUAAACAAUUCAUUUAUGACUUUGUUUAGAAGUUGCAUUAACAAAUGGUUUUCAUGAACAUAUUUGUAAUUGCUAUAUGUUACUUAAUUAUUGAGGUUUCGCUGUUCUAGAUAUUAUUAUUGAUUGUAAUGGACUGCACUUUGAUUGUGGUGCUUCUUGUGACUGUAAUUUUUGUUAGGAUAUUAAUAUCUAAAUUUUGGGUUAGUUCUUCUAGUACUAUGUAUUGAAUUUCUGUUCAGGAGCUAUUCUCUUAUAUGUGGUGGCUAUAAAUUUUAUAAAAUUGGUACUUUUAAGGUCGAGGAUAAAGUUACAUUAAGGAGUACGGUUGAUUCAAAUAAAAUUUAUGCUGUUGGAGUGGUUAAAAGUUUGGAAUCCAUGUGAAAUCCAUGCGACACACCUUUGUGAAAUCCAUGUGAAUGUGUCUAUGGAGAGUGAUGAAGAGCUGAUGAGGCCAUACCAUGAUUUUUGUAAGAUUGGAGAUGCAAUUGGAGUAGACAUUGCUUGGCCAAUAAUUUUAGUAAAUCUUGGUCAUCUGUUUAACUUACUUUAUAUUUGUUUUUUAACAUCAAAACUGUAAAAGAAGAACUGUACAUGUGAUUUGUAACUCCUAUUGCUUGGUUUAUGAUACUUGUAGGUGAAUUUUGAAAAAAAUUAAAGGAUCCUUUGGGUCAAAUGGCUGUUUUUGAAGGCAUUGUCAACGCAUUUUAGUUGAGUUCUUGUCAAACUACUGUUUCCUUUAUAUGUAUUGACAAUGCUAUUGCAAUACUCAUGGCUGUUGGAAAUUCGGUGAAUUAGCAUGUAAUUUGUUCACAUAGUUUUAAUGAGAGUUGAUUGGAUGAUGUACUUUUGCACCAAUUUGGCUAAAUGUAUUGUACCAAUUACUAUGAAGGUGUAAAUCACUUUGAUUUUUCUUUAUAUGAUGGUACUAUCAACUUUAUCAUUCCAAAAAUUGGAAUCUAUAUUGUGCAGGUAGGAUGAAAUAUGAUUUCUGUUUUUGGGUAUAAAAACACGGCCAGUAUAUAUAUAGGGCUAAUGCAAUAUGAUGUACUGACACUUAAAAAGUGUUACCACUUUGGCUAUGUAUUGCUAUUCAUAACAUUCACAAAAUUUCAUGUUAAGAAGUGUCAUAAUAGCCUAAUUUAGUUACACUACAAAGGUAUCAUAAUAUUUCUUUCUACUUAUACUGUAAAUGUGUCAUAAUAGCUUAUUGUGCUUACAUAAUACAAGUAUCAAAAUGGCUCCAAAAUAUGACAAUUAUGAGUAUCACUUUAAAUUCAUGUAACUUCAACUGUGCCCUGGCAUUUCUUGUCAUUUGAAAGUGUCAUAAAACCAGUAAAUAAUGACAUUUAUAAAUGCCAUCACAACUAUAAAUUAGAAUUUACAAAACUGCCAUAAAACUUAUAGUGACGUUAGAAUGGAUGACGUUUUUGGUAGAAUGUCAUUUUAUUUGAAAGGUCAUUACAUGGAAGUAUAAUGAUGCUUUUAAUGUCAUAAAAGGACAUUUUUGUAGUAGUCUCAAAAAAUAUAAGUUCAUUCAUGGACUCUUGAAUCAUAUACAGACUAGGGUGAACACCUCACACAUUCCCACAUUUAAUGAUGUGUUAGACGCCAGCAUAAAGGCUGAGAUGGACUGUAAAUAACAAGAUGAGGAGGCUAAGAGUAAGAGGCCAAGACCUAGGGGUGAACUUACCAUGUUGAGAAUGCUAAAGCCAGGCAAACGAUUCCGCUUAGUGAAGAAGAGUCGCGACCACCUCCAAGGAUAACUAGGGAAAAAACUUUCCCUCAAUAUAAAACCUAUGGUAAGAUGCAUCUAUUAGAAUGUCGACUUAGAACUAGAGCAUGUUUUGAAUGUGGACAGCAAGGAUAUAAGGCUAUGGAUUGCCCAAAUAAAAAGGUAGGGAUAGACAAGGGCGGCAACCUAGUUGGUAACAAAGCUAAGAUGAAUGCAAGGGUGCAUGCGAUGACUGAUUUAGAGGCAGAGGCGUCUGGUAAUGUAGUCACAGGUAUGCUUUUGAUAAACUCUGUGCCAGUAUUUAUGUUAUUUGACUGUAGUGCAAGUUAUUCGUUCAUUGCAAAGAAAUUUGCUAAACAUUUGUGUACGCAACCUAAAUGAAUAGACCAUCCCUACCACGUGGCCACUUCAGAUGAUAGGAUUUUAGUAUCUCAUGUUAAAUAUCCAAUCUAUAUGGCGGAAUUGGAGGAUAAGAAAUUAGAAGCGAGUCUAGUGCAAAUUAACAUGAGUGAUUUUGAUAUCAUCUUAAGAAUGGAUUGGCUAGUUAGGUACUAUGCACAUAUUGAUUGUAGAAGGAAGAAGGUACUAUUUUUGAACCCUCACCAAGAAUGUUUCUCUUAUCAAGGGAAUACUAAUUUAAGAAAGUUACGUAGGAUGCCACUCCUAUCAGCCAUGCAAGCCUAUAGGGCAUUAAGAAAAGGAUGUGAGGCAUAUUUGGUUUAUGUGGUAGAUGUUGAGAAAGAGGAAAAGUCAUCAGCAAAGAUCCCCAUAGUGAUAGACUUUCAGGAUGUAUUUACAGGCGAUUUUCUCGGAUUAUCUCCUGACUGGUAAAAAGAUAACUAGAGAUAGGGAGAGGUGAGGGGUCAAACCUCAUCUGCAGCGAAAAAAAUCUAAGGGUUGUGUCAGAGCACUCCCUUGGUCUAGUUGGGUCUGUAUACCUACUAGCCCCCUACCAUAGCCUCCUUAGGCUCCCCCUCCCCCCUAGAUUAGGAUAGAGUAGGUUAUACAAAUGUAUCAUUGCUGACCAAAAAAAAAAAAAAGAGGGGGAGGAUAAUAGUGGCCCCAAUAUGUGACCUGUCUGUAGUAGUGGAGUAGCAGGAGAAGUGGAGAGUAGUUGUACUUAUCGUUACUUAAUAUAUUUAUUAUUUCCUUCACAUUGGAAAGGACCAAUUUCAUCCCAUACCCCAAUUCCAAUUAACUUUGGUGGUGAUAGUGACAGUCACAAUACUCUAGCCACGACCACACACAUUUUUCAGGGAUUAUUAGUCAACAAAAUGACAAAAGCAAAAGCAAAUGUGAAAUUUAACCUCAUUGUUUCACUGAUUAUUACAUGUUUGAUUAAUUGAAAGAAAUAAUUAAUCGAUACACACUAACUUUGUAGGCGGUCAAGUUUUGUCCCCUUCCUUUAUGUGAUUAUCUUCAUUUAUUAAAAAAAUUUAGGGGUGGCAUCCCUCUCUCUCGUAUAUGGGAUUUUGCCAAUGAAAAAAGGAAAAAAACAUACACACCAUAUUGGAAAAGCUUCAUCUAUGAACCAGCUAAUAAAAUAGUAGAUAAAAGCUAGAUAAAAAAAAAAAAAAAAAAAAAGCAGCGACCUUUGGAGGAUGUUUAAAUAAUACUUGAACACUGCAUUCCAUUUAGAAGAAUUAAGCACAAAAAAGUAAAUAAUCACGUUAUUAGCUUCAGCUUUAGCUUUACCUACAUCACAUAUCACAAAAAAAAAAAAAAAAAAAAAAAAAAAAAAA
This 80766-nucleotide long non-coding RNA is filed under the name Coffea arabica (coffee). RNAcentral describes it as "long non-coding RNA (CARA_LNC007662)". Lineage: Eukaryota; Viridiplantae; Streptophyta; Magnoliopsida; Gentianales; Rubiaceae. The record is from RNAcentral.